This 46384-nucleotide long non-coding RNA is filed under the name Elaeis guineensis (African oil palm). Its description in RNAcentral is "long non-coding RNA (EGUI_LNC015623)". Lineage: Eukaryota; Viridiplantae; Streptophyta; Magnoliopsida; Arecales; Arecaceae. The record is from RNAcentral.
GACAGCUUGAACUAGCACUAAUGGUCUCCUUAAAUAGGAAUGCUUGGAAAUGAAGAAUCCCCAAAUAGUUUGGCAAGGUUUGAUUGGUUAUGGUUUUGGUGAAUCUGUGUGAAACUAGUAUAUGACCAGAGGCUAUUGUCCUGAGGCUAAUGCCUCUCCAUUUAGAUUCUGUAAAUUCUUCAUGCCACAUGUCUCUAUCAAGGGAUAUAUUCUAAGGUAUAAUAAGUCUAUUGUCUAUAUGUCCUCAAAAUUUCAUGAAAGCUUUGUGAUGUUUUGCCUCCAUUAGUAUUGCCCUUCCACAUGUAUCUGAGCUCUGAAUAUUGUUAUAGCAGGUGUUAUUGCAAAUUAGUUUACCACCUAUUUAAGUCUUGUAUUAUUGAACUGUCAUUACUAAGAUUUAUUCUGUUUACCUUGAUAUUCUUUGCACAAACUUGUGCUAUUUACAUAGAUCUGAGCUGUUUGAGAUUACCUUUCCGCUUAAUGGCAUAUUUUAUUUUUGGGGAAUUUGGUUCUGGCAAUUAAUGUACUUUUAAACAUGUUUUUUUUUUUUAAAAAAUGUUUUUAGAGGUGUAAAGUUUAACUGUGAUGUCCUAAAUGUUGUUGAAAUGGUCAUUUAUUUAAAACCUCUAACAACUAGUGCUCAAUCUUUUCUCAAACAACUUCCAAAGAACGUGUUUAGAUAUGCCAAUUCCUAAUAUGCACCUACACUAGUGGAAUUGGUGUGUUAUAUCCAAUCUUGCAUGUGACAGCAAGUCCCAUGAUGCAGCUCAAUUCACAUCUUUGAAGAAACAUAUCUUUGGUGCUGCAGCUGUCCCCAUGUAUGCCAUAUUAUAGGUCUUAAGCAUGUAUUUAUUGGUUCCUGCAAAAAAAAAGAAGCUAUAUUGAUGAUUUUAUGAUGAUAUAUUUGGAUUUCUAUGAUGGAAAUUUAUUUUGAUUUUUAUUCCUCUCACAUGCUUUCGACUUCCUGUUUUUGCCCAGAUUAAUUUGGAAGAAUUUACUGAUCUCUGCAAUGCUAUUGCCCUAAGGUUUCAAAAGGAGCCUUCUGUAAGUCAAUGCUCAAUGCUGUUAAAAACAUGCAAAUAUACCCUUAAAGAGUAGGACUGAAAAAAUCAGAUUCCAUUCACUCUUUCUAUUUAUUUACCUGUAAGUAGCAUGCUCUCAAUUACUAGAUAUCAAUCUAAUCUCUAAUGCUUGGUGUAUGUUGGACAUUGCAGCCUUCAUGGUUUGAAAACUGCCCAUCUUUUUACCAUUCACCUCUGUGCAAGAAUUUGAAAGCUUUCGUUCGCAGCCCCAUGUUUGGAUAUGUUAUAGUUUUUAUACUUGUUCUCAAUCUAGUUGCUGUUGUUAUUGAAACAACGGUAAGCUUAUUACAACGAUGAGCUCUUUGUGUAAAUUUGUCACAAUAAUUUUUCUUAUUACAUUGUGCUACCUUUCUUAGCUACCCUCCUAUUCUAUUAAUCAUGAUCUACAAUACUUAGAAUUCGAAAAAGAUAAAAACUCAAAUAUUUUGGAGGUUUCUCUCUGACUAUGUCAGAUGAUCACAAGAGCAGAAAGAAUUUAAUGACAAAUUCAGUUUUUUUGGGUUAUAGUUCAUGAAUGCCUGGUUGAAUUCUAGUGAAAUGCAUGUCAUGAUCAAUGAUGUUGGCUCUUGAUUUAUAUUAUUUGAUAUGCAUUAUGCACUAUUUAUAUUGAUAAUGCCCAUGUCUACUCCACUCAAUGCAUGGAAGCAAAUGUUGAUCAUGACGAAUAGUGUGGGUUCUCUUUUUACAUCGAUUAUGCAUUUAUGUUGUGAUCAAGGUUCUCGAUCUUGCCAUUGGUAUUGUACCUGUCUAGUGCCAGUUUGGUACGAUACUGUAACAAUUAGGGUUCUUAGCACCGUCUCGAACCAAUCGGUUUGGGGCGUGCCGAAUCGGACCGGCGGGAAAUCGGGAUGGUUCCGACGAAGAAAAUGGCACACACGGGUGCUGGGGAAAAACGAGACAGAAACAGAGGCAGAGAGAGAGGAAGAGAGGGAGAGAGAGGAGGACGCCGUCGGAAGCCGGCAGUGGCCCUCUGCAGCCGUCGGAGGGUGGCAGAAGCCGCCAUGGCUCGGUUCGCCCGAUGGAGCUGCUGCAACGAGCGAGAAAGAGAGAGAGAGGGGAGAGACCAUCGGAGAUGGGAGGACGGGACGGCGAAGAGGCCGCUGGAGGACUCUGGGUGGCCGCCGUGGCCAUCUAGUGGUGGAAGCGGUACGGGUGGCAUCACGGUCGCGGAACAAGGAUUGUCGCCCCUGUUCACACAUGGCUCUUUUUUAAAAAAUGGGGAUUAAUAGUGAAGCCGGCAAAAUAUUUGCCGGCUUCAUUGUUUAAAAUAUUUUUUAAAAAAAUUAAAAUUAGUAAAGCCGUCAAUCGGAUUGCUGGCUUUAUUUUUUAAUUUUUUUUAAAAAAAAUCUAUUAAACAGUGAAGCUGGCAAACAAUUUGCCGUUUUCGUUUGUUUUUGUUUUUUUAAAAAAAUUGUGAAACAGGGGCGUCGCUCCUGUUUUAUGCCUGUGGCACUGCGCACGUGGACUGUGUCAUCCGGCGGCUAGCCAGAGGUCAUCCGACGGGCCCUCCGAUUCCUUCCCCUCCUUUUCUUUCUUCCUCCCUCUCUCUCUAUCUCUCUCUCUCUCUCUUUUCCUCUUCCCGAUUUCCUUCCUUAUUUCGGUUCACGUCGGUCCGAUCCGAUAUGGAACCAUACCAGACCGUGCCGCCAGCUGGCCGGAACGGUCAUCGGUACCGGUACCAAAAACCUUAGUAACGAUAUUCGAUAUGCUGAACGUAUCGGUAUGAUAUUUGUUUGCCUUUUCUUUUUAAUUUUCAUUUUUUUUGGUGAUGAUUAUUUUAAGAUCUAGGGAUCUUCAAAAUAUGAUGUUAAAGUUGUUUUAUUGUUAUUUUAUUUCAUAUUCGCCCUAAAACUAUAUGAUUGCUUGAGGGAUGCAUUUGUAAUGAAUAAAAAUAAAUAUAUAGUUUGUAGCUUGAAAAUACACGUAUAUUUGAAACCCAAAAAUAUACUGAUAUCUAGUCCCUGGCAGAGAGUCUAUGCCACUUGUAGAUCUUGGGAUCUCUUUCAUCGUUGAUGCCUUGGACUUGACUCCAAGCUAGAAACUAUGGCCAUCCUUGCAGACAAUAAUUUGGUUUUCUUGGAUAGCACUCUGAUACCGAUCCUCUUUUUGAUAUUGGGCUGGCCAUCUCACCUGUGGGAAGAUUGUAGUAGCAAAAUUUGAUUGGUGAUCUGGAUAAGGCUGUGGAGUGUAGUAGCCACAUAUUCAAUGCUUCAGAUGAAGAGUAUAUAUGGGUAUUAUGCUGGUUGUGCAAAAUAAGAUUCAAUGUGAUGAUGAUCCAUUGAUGUCUGGAGACCUGCUUCACAUGCUAUAUCAUUAGCUGCAACAAUAUGUACCCGUGCCAUGGUCCAUCUCAUUGAGCCCAUCUCCUAUAUGCUAUUAUAACCUCAAGCUUUACAUCGUGCUUCAUGUUCCAUAUCGUAUGUGGCAUGAGUGAAACAACUCACUGAUGAACGGACUUGGACCAUGUGGUUGCGAGUUGUAUGUACCCUUCCAUGUCGACUACUACCUUUCUGGCCACUAAGAAUGCAUUAUUGCCUGGAUUGUCAUAAGCAUUGUUACUUGUAACUCGAGGUGAUCUGGACAACAUGUCAUCUAAUGGCUCAGUGGUCUUAAAAUUUUGUACGAAGGGCUUCUCAUGAAACCUCUCAAAUGGAUCUUCAGCAUUCUCUCUUUCUUGCUACUAUGACGAACUGCUUUGCUUCUUGGUUGGCCCUGCCUAAUUGGUUUUGUUGGAUGGCUUGACCAGGCCCAUCAUCCUGAGGCCGUUCCUCCAUGGCUGGAUUGUGUGCCAGUGUCCUCUCCUCAGCAUUUCAAGUCGUUAUCUUAGGGUGUUUUCUGAUGUAGAGCCUUGCAAUCCCAACCGGUUCCCCUUGACCUUUGUGUAGCUCCUAUUGCUGGGCAUUGACUGGUUGUGAGUGUGCACGUGUUGCUUCACCUACUGCCCUGCAUUCACCUAUCUCUGUUGUUAUGAUAUUUGCUAGUCGAUGAGGUGAUUCUAGCUUAUCAAGCUCUAGCCUCUACUAGCUCUCAAGUCAAUCAAUCAUGAGAUCCUCACCAUCAUAUAUCAAGUGAUUAUGAAGUGGAUCUUCAUAUUUCAGCUUCAUCUCCUCACAGAUGCACUUCAAUCUGAGCCAUAAAAUGUAGUGCAUAUAUGCUGUCUUUCAUUCUUCUGUAUCAUAUGAUUUGUUCAGUUGCUGUGUAUUUUGUAGAAGGUUGAACAGUUGCACUCGUAGCCACCAGAGGAGACCAUCUGUGAGAGGAUCCGGAUUAGCAAGCUCCAAAGAUUUUUGGAUAACAACCCAAUAUGGAACCACUAUUCAACCACAAAUACAAUCAAGUAAAUUGCAUGUUAGACACUAUUUAUCGUAAAACAGUAAAUCAGUUAAAGUCAGUGUUAAAAAAUACCUGGAUUUAUAGUCUUUCUUGCCAUGACUACCUUGUCAUCAAAGCUAUGGGAGUCCUCCCUAAAAGCAUAAGUCUAUGAAUCAUGAAGCGCAUACCACUUAUGAUAUCAUAUAUUUUGUUUGAAUUAACAAAGUAUUAUUCCCGAUUUCCUGUUAAAUUUAACUUACCUCUUUGAGGCAUCUGGCAAUAUUGCGGCUCAAGCUCCAUCUUGAUGAUGUUGCACAAGGCAGUCCAUGGUUCCUUAUCCUAGUCUGUUCUUGGGACUUCAUAUUGGAACCUUACAUUGAGGUAGUAGGUUGUCAGGAUAUGUAAUUGAUUAAUUAUCAAAGGUUGCAUGAUAGUAUUUUAUAAGAAUAGACAGGGAUUGAGGAUUUUACUUGGAUUACCUACUAGAUGCAACUCCUUGCCUAUUUGGAAAUCCCACCACUCCUUAAUGAUGUUAAUAUGCUCAUUAGUAUGCUUCAGAUCCACUUGCUUGAUCUCGGUCUUAGUAGUCAUCAUCAUAGCCAUCUGAGGAUACUUCUCGCUGUCCACAAACUUUAACACUUGAUAUAGAGGUGCGGUUUCCUGAAUAGUGGCUUGUCACUAACUCUUCCGUAUGUCUCCUUUCUGUGCCACUAACCCUUGAGUCUUGGUUAGGGUGUCUUUCUUAGAUGUUGGUUGAUCAUAAUAUGUAGGUCUAAGAACCAAUCAUGUAAGGAAAAAAAUCAACGCCAGUUUAUUGUUUUCCAUUUUAGCACUACAAGGAGAUGUACAUUCAACUAAAUUUGAUGAUAUUUUGAUUUAGAUAAUGCAUACUGAAUAAUUUAUAAAUUACAGGCAAAAUAUUGCACUCAAGUAAGGAAUAAGUAGAUGAACUAGUACAUUGUACAAUGAGGAAACAGUUUGUGUUUAGGCAGGAAAUUCAAAAUCUGAUGUAAUUGUUGCGAAAUGAAAUGACUUGCAACUUGAACUGCUUUGGAGUCGAGCCAGGGCCAUAUGUCUUUUUUUUUUUUAAAUGUAGCUUUCUUCCUAUUGAUGUCUGAGAUUUGAUAAUUCUGAAUUUAUAUUUUAUGAGAGUUUACAUGCCAAAGAUAUGGUGUAUAUGUGUACUAUAUGCAUAGAUACUUUGUUGAGCUUCUAUUGUUGAUUCUUCAUUUAUUCCAUUUCAAUGGCUAGUUAUCACAUGCUUGUCUCUCCGUCAUCUGGAGUUUAAAAUAGAAUUUAAGAUCUAGCUUCAGUGACAACAUAUUUUGCCAUGGUUGGUGAUGUUUUUUAUCCUAUAAUAUUAAAUUGAUUAAAUUUGCUUUUUGCAGCUUGAUAUAGAGAACAGUUCUGCGCAGAAAAUUUGGCAACAAGUGGAGUUUUUCUUUGGUAGGGAUUUGAAUAUUUGAUAGACUUAUUAAUUGUCAUUUCAUUACAUGAAACCCCCCAAAAAAGUUCUUAGUUGGGCAAUUUAAGCUAUCAUUAUAGUUUCCUAAUCUUCUUUCAAAUGGGAAGUAUGAUCAGUACUAUGUAGAAAAUUUUGAGCCAUUGUGGACAAUAAUGUGAAAAAAUAAUGAAUAAAAAUGCUUCAAACUAAAAGCAUGAAUUUUCAGGUAUUACCUUGGAAUGACCCAAUUCACUUAAAAAGUAGCAAAUCAUGAUUCAUGGAUUACAAAUCUUAAGGAUACUCCUUAUGAUUCACUACUAUUGUUUUAUCGUGAUUCUAUAGAGAACAAUGGUCAGAAUUUUUGUGCCAAAAUUUUAGAGUAUUUAUUCUUUUUGAAUUGACCAAAGAUUCUUUUUCUGAAAUUUUUAAAAAAAAAGAAAUUUUAGAAGUUGCUUUUCAAUUUUGUAGUUAUAUAAUAUCACAUAGUUGGCAUGCAAUAUUUUGAUCAUGCCUCAUCAUAUGUUGGACGCUAAUUAAAUCUCGACGGUCUUGUAGGGUGGAUUUAUGUAUUAGAGAUGGCUUUGAAAAUAUUUUCAUUAGGAUUUGAUGCUUACUGGUUGGAAGGCCAAAACCGGUUUGAUUUUGUGAUCACAUGGAUAAUAGGUAAGCUCAAACUGACUUUGCAAGUCAAAUAUUACUAUUUUUAUUUUUUUUAAGGUAGCAAGAAUUGUUUUUGUUGUGCAUUUUAUUAUAAACUUCCUCCUAUGCAUCAAAUCAAGUUACAUAUUUUGUUUAUUAUAUUAGGUUUUAAAUCCCGUGGGAUGGGGUUGUCCCAAUUUGCCUAUGGAAUGGGAUGUGCCACUGUCCCAACACUUUCGAUAGGGAAUGCCUCAAGACAUGUCGAUCAGGAUCCUAGCACAACGGUGGGACAUUCCUGUCCCAACUCCCAACACUCGAGACAAUACCCCAUUCUGGUGUCCCCUAGGACAUCCCAUUAGAAGUUGAGAUCAUGAUCAUAACCACCAAUCUUGCCCCAACUAGUUGCGGUCACUUUUGUGCAUUCUUAUUUGCUGAAUAUUUGGACCACCUCUAAUGGCAAUUCGAGCAUUUUGGACAUCCUGUCAUAUCCUCCAUCCAUGUAACCUUAGGCCUUCUCCUUUGUUGCAUCCUUAAAUUAAAGGACAUGUUCUUGCUGGAUCCCUUCAGAUCUUUGUUGUACAUCCCCACAUUAUCUUAAUCUAUUCUCCAUCUCUUUGUCCUUAGUUUGUGCAACUCCUAGUAUCUCUAAUAUGUAUUCAUUUCUCACAUUAUCCUUUCAUCUUUUACCACACAUCUCAAUACUCUUAUUUCUGUGACACUUGUUUUCUUGGAUCUUUUUUUAAUGAUUCAACAUUCCAAGCCAUACAACAUUUUAGGCCCUAUUGCUAUUCUUCAAAAUUUUUCUUUAAAUCGCAUAUAUGCAUCAAUCACAUUUCCUAGAGGCACCUUUAUGCUGCAUCCAGCUAGCUCUAAUUCUAUAACAUAUGUUUUCAUCUAUAUCUCCAUUAUUUUGUAUAAUAGAUCCUAAAUAAUAAAAGUCAUUACUUUGUGGUAUAUUUUGUCCAUCAAUUGGACUCAUGGUCUCAUCUUCAUUUCCAUUUUCACUAAAAUUGCAAUCCAUGUACUUUGUCUUUGUAUUGCUAAUUUUUUAAGUCCUCAUCCUCUAAGGCUUUCUUCCAUAAAUCAAAUUUAGCAUUUAACCUUGUUCUUUCCUCAUCAACAACACCAUAUAAUCUUCAAAGAAUAUACACCGUUGUAGAUCUUGUGCUUUAGCAGUAAGGUUAUCUAUGGUUAGACACAAAGAUAUGGUCCAGGUGUUGAUCUUUGGUGCAGGCCUAUUGUGAUUGGGAAUGCAUUUGUCGUACCAUCAUAACUCUUAAAACUUGUCAAUGAUUAGAUUCUAAAUUACUCUUCUAAUUAAAAUCUUCACUGAUCAUUGCAUGUACUUGUGUACCAUCAUAAUCCUAUCAAUUUGUCAUUCAUUAGUAAUAUCCUCUCCUCUCUUGUUUUUUCAGGGUAGGGAGGAUCUCUCAGUUGCCUAUGGAUGAUUCCUUUUGAGUUUUGAAAUUUGUUGUGUGAAUUUUCUCAGGCAACUAAUGUAUGCAAAUCCUAUCGUGUGCUUUGAACACUCAAAACUUCUGCAUUUACAUCAUGCAAUAGCAUCUCAAUGCAGGAGAAUGAGGGAUUGAUUGUUCUCCUUUAACUUCCUUAGUGACUGUAUAAAUAACUUUGAGUGUAUUUUUGUGUAGGUUUUUGAAUCUAAUUAUUGUAGCAAUGUGCUUAACUAAGCUAGUGCAUUCCUUUAGAGAAAUGUUAUGCAUUGUAAUCUCUGUUCAGCACAUGUUUCUGGAGGUAUGCAUAAUGUUUGUUGUACUUGUUGCAGCUUUAACCUUUUCAUUCAUUGUAUUUUUAUCAAAUAUGAUGCUCAAAUAUUUAUAUACAGUUCUGGUACUUGAUUGAUGAACUACUUCAAUGGAUGUAAUUUGUGUUGCAGUUAUUGGAGAGAGUCUGACUUUUUUCUUCCCAUCUGAGCUUCCUUUUCUUUCAAAUGGAGAGUGGUAAUGUUUUUCUCACUCCAUGGUAACUCAAGUAUAAUCUUUGUUAUAUAAAUGAAUGAGGUGCAUUAGAUUAAUAGACAUGGUAUCCUUGACUCCAUGUACAAUUAGUUGACCAAAUAAAAUUAGAUUACUCAUCGUUUCAUCCCAUGCUUAUUCAGUAAGUGAUGGUUAUCCAGUCAUUCUGCAGCUCUUAGAUUUGUCGUGCAAUAACAAGAGCCAACAACAAUACAUCACCAAAGUAAGCUAGUAAUGGAAGAGACUGAGGUCUUCUGAACAAAAUUGUUAAACUUUAAAGGUAGAACAGUUCAUUUAUUUUAUAAUAAAAAGUGUUUUUUUGUUGGGGAGGGGAGGAGUGGGGGUGGGGAUUGAGAAGGUCAUAAGUGAAGGACUUGCUCAGUAAUAUCUUCUGUAUUCACAAGUUACUGGUGCUAUUUAGAGUAGGCAAACGGCAAACACGUGACAAUUGGUGAGUUGAUAACUUUUGGAAAUUGGAACUACUUGACAAGGGCAUAAUGAUUGCAUUCUCUACAUCCUAGAUCCAUCACUUUCAUGGAUUUGGGAUUGAUGAUAGAAAAGUAGACUCAUUACAGCCAUGAUGAUAAAAGAGUUUGUUAAUUAAAAAAAAAAAAGAUCUCAGUAGAAUAGUGGAUAGUAAAUAAGAAUUUUAUGAACUGAGAGAUCUGGAGGAAGCAAGUUGAAACUGGAGGAGCAAGUGUUAGAAUGAAUGUAAAAUCUCAUUAGGCAAUUCAUAUGAUAUAUGCAGGAUGCCACAUAAUUUUUACAUUGAAAUACAUACAAACAUGAGGGUUUUCUGUCUUUGCCCUUCCAAAAGGUGGACAUGGAGAAUAAGCGCUUGAAGGAGACACAUUUCUGAAGAAUUGUGAUGGUGCAUACCCUCCUAUUCUGCUUUUUUUUUUUCAUUUCCAUGUUCUUCCUUUUCAUAUCUGUUUCUCUCUUCUUCUAGUUGGGCUCAAAAGUCAUCCUCAUGCUCCUCUUAGAAAUGUAACAGUCAUUUCAAAAAUUUGUAAGAUUCUGACUAGACAAGGGAACCAAACUUCAUGGUUUGCUGCAAUAUAUUGGUAGUUUCGUCAUCACAGGUAUCAAUGUUUUUAUGCACAUUUGAUGAUUAGAUGUUCUGCAUCAAGAGGUGUAUUGGGAUAAUGGAUCAAACCUUGUUCAUCCGUUUUCCUUUAAGGAAAAUAUUGGGCUUUGCUAUAUCCUUUUUAAAAUCGUAUAGAGAUCUAUUCCUGCUAUUCUUGUACUGGAAAGGGAGAUAUCUUGCUUCUUUCCAAUCAGGUACCAUUGUUUUGUUGCUAGUGUGAGAACAAUUUACUUUUCUUUUGAUAUAUAAAUGAUAAGGAGUGGACAAAAUAAUUCCUUCUCUAUGCAUAAUAAUCUGGCCAGCAUAUGUAAAUGAAGGGAAUUAUCUCCAAUGGCCACAAUUUGUCAAGCUUUUUCACACUACUAAAGGAAGCAUGGAAUUUGAAGGAAGAUCCAAAUUUCAUACAUAUAAUGGAAAGAAGAAGCCUCUCAUGCAGUGUUCGUUGAACCUUACCAGUGGCUAACCGGUGUGGUUCGGGUGUUCAGUUCAGAAUGCCGGCAAAAAUAGAGUGAGGGAGAAGGAAAGAGAAGAGAAGGGAGAGAGAAAGAGGAGGGGAGGGAAGGAAAGAAAAAAGCCGAUGGUGGCCCGUUGAGGCUGUCGGAGGGCCGCCAAGGCCUCCAGGGCUCCCGAUCCUUUGCAAGAUGCCGACUUCCACUCCCUCCUCUCCUCUCCCUUCCCCUCUUUCUCUCUACUCUCAUUUUCUCUCGCAGAGGACCGUGGAGCUGUGAAGGCCUCGACGGCCCUCUAUGGCCACCGCCGGCGUCUCCAUCGGCCUCUCUUUUCUUCUCUCCCUCUUCCUCCCUCCCCUCUCUCUUUCUCUUUCUUUUCCUUCCUAGUUCAUUCAUCGUUUCCGUGUCGGUUCAGACUCGAUACGAGGGCAUACCACAUCGUACCAUCGGCCGACCAGCACAAGGUCUGGUUCCGAGUCGGUGAUCCUUGCUAUCAUAUUCGAAGUAUCUUUUUCAAUAAUAUGAUAUUCUUUUGCGUUGUCUUAGAAAUUUUCAUUAACUCAAUAAGGCAGAAAGAGGCUUUAUGAACUGUAGAUAAAAAAGCUAUUUGGUACUCGUGAUAUGCAUGACAAAGUGUCAUACCAGUGCCUUAGUUGCAUGUUGGCCGUGAUACUAUACCAAUUGUGUGCCAGUGCUUGGAAUGUAGCCAUGCCAAUGCAUGCCAGGCACUAGCAUCGCAUGGUACAACACUUAUGGGCCAUGCUAAUGCUAAGCUGGCAGGCCAUAACAUGGUAUGUAUUGUGCCAAUGGCAAGGUGGCACAUCAUUGUCAUGGAAUACAUCAGCUGAUAUUGUAUAUACUGUUGCAAUUGAAUAAGGAUAUUUGGAAGUUGAAUGCCUCUCAGCAACGAACUUGAUUGGCACAAGCAGCAACAAAAAAAAGAAACCAAUUAAAUUAAAUUCUGGCCGGGAUUAGUUUCAAUUUUCAAGUCCGUUUCUUUUUUUCUUUUUUAUCCUCUAUCAACUCCAGGGACUUUUUGGGAAGCUUUCUCAAAUCUUGAUUGUUAAAGGACUAUGAUGAAGAGAUGGAAGCACUUCAUGAAAAGUCAAAUUUGAGAAUUGGUACUGCUAUGUGGGGAAGUAUGUAUUCUUGAGUGUUGCUAGUUAUAUACUAUCAAGUAUGAACCGAACAUCUCUAUUCGAAAGUAUGAACCUUGGUUUAUGUCUAAGGGCUAUACCUAGAUGUACGGAGUGGAGUGCUUUGACUCUUCUCACCUUCAGCAGUGAUAAUGGUGAAUUCAGUUGAAUUAAACUUGACUAGCCUUUAUUUCAUCUUGAUGUGAAAAGUGUCUUGUAUUGAAGAUCUGCAUAAAGAGGUUUGAGUGGAUCUGCCUUUUAGCCUUCAGUCCUGCAGAAAUUGUUUAUCUAUUGAAGGAUUCCAUUUAUGGAUCAGAGCAGAUUCCAUGUGCUUCGUCAAACUCUAUUUGACUUUGGUUUCAAGAAGUCAAGUUAAUCAUGUGCCACUUAUUAAGAGCACCUGUUGAUCUGGAAUGAUCAAACAGAGAUAGGUGAUCCGGAAAAGGACUUAAAUGCUGCUGGCACGGUGCAUGCCACCUAGUGGCUGAGAUGGCAUGUGCCAUGCUGGAAUAUAGAAAAGGGACUCAAGAGCCCUUUGGCUUGGUUCCAAGUUGUAUUCAACAUGAGCUAGUACAGGUUGGUACUGCUCUAGCUACUUUCUUGGUACUUGGUACUGAUACAAUGAUGCAUGCUGGCACUAGCCCAGCAAGGGCCAGCACUUGGACCAUGGUUCUGAAAUAGUUCUAACUAGAAGAGAGUUGAUUUGAAAAGAUUUCAGACAGCUUCACGACUUUCAGGGGAUUGAAGCUCCCCAUUCUAGAAAAUGCGGUUCUAUAUAAGUCAUGAUGUAUACUCUUGAGCGCUGACCUCCUUGGAUACAUGGCUCCUAUAUUGUUAAGCAGUAGAGACACCUGUACGGCUGUACAGGUGAGCUUAAAGCUGUAUGCUGAUCAGGGAGAGCAUAUAACUUAUCCAGAGGUAGUGAAUGUAAUAGUUGCAUUCAAUGCUUGUAAGUAUUGUUAAUUGCAUGUGGCCUUUUUAUAGAAAGAUGUCAAAAAUGCAUUUCUUCACAACGAUGAUGGUGAGUAUUCUGUUUGUAACAUCCUAGCUUUCUCUGUCAUCUCCAUAUUGGGCAUCAGUGACAUGACAUCCAAUGUGGCUUUAACAAACCCAAUGAGUCAGUAAGCUAAUUUUAUAGGGGAGAUGGGAUCAAAGGGUUUUAUAUGUAAAUUUACUCUAUUUAUUAUACAAUUGCAAUUUAUUGAUGAUUUUCGUCUUUUUUAUUUUGUGGCAACAGGAUUCGUUAUCUUUUAAUUGCAAGGAUGUUGCGCUUGAUUAGGCUGUUGUUGCAUAUUCGACGCUAUAGAGCAUUUGUGGCAACAUUCUUAACAUUAAUUCCAAGUUUGAUGCCAUAUCUUGGGACCAUAUUUUGUGUUCUAUGUAUUUAUUGUUCCCUUGGUGUACAGGUAUGUUAUUCUAAUCAAACUAAACUAAUCUUGCAAUGAUAGAACAGAUAUACCUAUGAAAAAAAAAAGACUAUCAUUAAAGCAUUAUGCUUGGUUUAAGUAAAAGAAUAUUUGUCAAAGUUGUAGCAAUCAUCAGUUGAUUUUGCUGGUAUCAUGGAAACAAAAUAAUAUGACAGCUGAGAAAUGAGAACAACGUAAAACGAGUUAAGAAGUGUAAGUCAGACUAGAGAAGCAAAUUAACUAAAGUCAUGUAGGAGUUCAUAUUUUUAGGAUUUGACCAUAUUGAUGCCUAUGUAAUUUUUGGGGCUUGUGUGUUACAAAGUAGUAUGUAAAUGACUUUUUAUGUGGCAAAAUAAGCAGGUACCUAGUGGUUAAACCCAUCCAAUCAUUGGGGGAGGUUUAGGGCUAAAGCCUUGGGUGGUGCAUCCCCAAGGUCCAAUAAUUUACCUCGGAUCCCCCACGUGCGCGCAUACACACCUGCUGCCCCCCUCCCCCCCCCUAAAAAAAAAACAAAACAAAACAGAAACAAAAGAAGUAGCACCGGAGCACCUAGGACAUGUGACACUGCAUGGAUUGUUAGUCCUAGCCGCAUGGGUUGUAGGUCCUAGUUGCAUGGAUCGUGGGUCCAGUAUGCACAAAUCUUGGAAGUUGGAACCCACCAUCAAUUUUAUCUUGUUAGGAAAGUUAGAUGUUAGUUGUUAGUUAAUUCUAGACUGGAGGGUAGAGAAUUUUGAUUUUUGUGAACUUUUGAUGCUAUUAGGAAGGUUAGUAGUUAUAGUUCUACUUCUUCGUGUUAGAAUAGGACUUGUAAUCCUAUGUUGGAAGGUUGAAAAAAAGAAGCCCCUUGUACUACUUAUAAACAAGGACCAUCGAAUCGGAACCGGAGCUGGAGCCCAUGCCGGUCGACCAGUGGUACGGUUUGGUACAGAUCUGUACCAUUUCGUGCCGGGCCGAACCAAUAGGGCAAAGAAGGGGAGAGGGAGAAGAAAGAGAGGAAGAGAAGGAGAGGGGGGAGAGAGGAGAGGAAGAGGGAGAGGAAGAGAUGGUCUCCGGUGGCUAUCGGAGGACCUGAGGGUGGUCGAGGCCAGAGGAGGGCCUCUGCCCUCCUCUUGUGUGAAGCAAGGGUUCGCCCCUAUUUCGCAUUUUUUUGGCUUUUAUCGUGCAAAGUUGGUAAUUGUGUUGCCAACUUCAACCGAAAUUUAAAAAAAAAGGAUGAAGUAGCAAUCUAGUUGCUGAUUUCACGCGAUAAAAGAUAAAAAAAAUGUGAAACAGGGGCGAACCCUUGUUUCGCAUGGGAGGAGAGUGGAGGUCCUCCAUUUUCAACCGCCCUCAGGUCCCUUAGCGUGGGCUUGCUAGCCAUCGGAGACAUCACGACAGCUGCACCGUCCAUUCAGAGACCUCUCACGGCCUUUGGACAUUUGGUAAGACUCUCGUCCUCUUUCUACUUCCCUCCCUCCACCCGUACCGAGCUCAGCAAGAGCUCAGAUGGCCUUUGGCGGUCGCUGGAGGCUCUCUUCCUCACCCUCUCUUUCUCUUACCCCCCCACCCUCUUCCUCUCUUUCUUCUCCCUCCCUCCGAGACGGCCGCUGUGCUAUUUUGUACGUGGGAACCAGACUAAUUUCCCUCUGGCACAGUUGAAACUGUCCAAUUCGGGAUGGUUUAGAAAAUGAUGCUUAUAAAUUACCCCUGUUAGAGCUCUCUUGUAAUCAUAGUAGAGAUACUUGAGAUAUUGAUUAGUGGAGAUUUUAUCAUGAGAAUUAUUCCUCUUGAUUGGUGUUCAAUGGGGUCUAUUUGUUGGUUCGGAGUCUUAAGCCGAACCAGCAAAUCAAGUGGAACCUUGAUAUGACUCGGCUCGAGUUAGUUCCAAGCCCUCCUGUGAGAAGAAAAGGGGAAGAAGGUAUUAUGACACAUUUCUUUGUUCUUUUCUGCUGAGAAUGUGAAUGAAAGAGGAGGAAGUUGAGGGAAAUUAGGGGAGAAAGGAUUUUAUUGUGGUUUGGGGUCCCAAUCCAAACCAAGAUCUGGGUUAAUCCCGUCCUCCUCUUCAUUCUUCUCUUUUUCUCCCUCUUUUUUAUGACUAGAAUAGGCCAAAAAAAUUAAAAAAAGAAAGGGAAAUCAUGCCAAAAAAAAUUUGUAUUUUGGCAUGAUUUCAUGAUAUGUUAUAAAUCAAAGGGUGACAUACACAUUGAAAAAGAAAUCAUGAUUUUUUGUUGAUCAUGUAAUUUUUAGAUUAUAUUUUAUUUUAAACAUAAUUAAUAUAGUAUUAAAAAUUAAAAAAAAUAAUAGCAUGUUUGGGAGUGUGCAUGUUAAUUGUCUUUUGGUGGCUGCAACUUCUUUAAAUUUGGGCAUGGUUAUGACUUAUGACUACUAGAACCUAAGUCAAAAUUUAAAUAAAUACCAGGACUAAUAUGAAAUAAAUAACAAUAAGAUAACCUUAACAUAUCAUUUUUGAAGAUCCAUAAACCUUUUACCAUAACAAGAAUAUGAGAACAAAUAAAAAAUAAACUGGGACCAUAUAGGUAUGCUUUCAUAUGUUGUCAGUACAAUAUAUUACCAUACCAUACAAACUCGGAACCAGUCUACUAGACUGGUAAGGUGCUUGAUACCGAGAUUAUGAAACUUGGAUUUGUGUUUGUAAACAUUAACUGGAUUUAAAGUUGGGUUUGAUUUGGGUUGAAUGCUUCAACAACAUGACAGUUAUGAGUUGCUUUCCUUUCAACAUAGCCCAACCUGAGUUGGGCCUAUAUUUCUUCAACUUGACCUCACUGUUACAUGUCACAAGGUGACAGCCUAACCUAAAAUGACUCGACCCAGUCGAGUCCAACUUAAUGAUUCUGAGAUAUGUUGGGGGUUAGUGAUUAUGGAUUAGGUCAUAUUAGGGUUGUGCAGUUGGGUUCUUAGUUGGUUAGGAUGAAAGUUUAUGUGAAAUUGGCUUGGUUAUUCAUUAGCUAUUAGCGUGACACAACCCAAGUUGCAUCCUAGUCCAGUCCAUGCUUGUACCAGCUUGCUUAUGGUCCAGCUUUUGUAUAGACCAGUUCUACCAUCAGCCUUGACCAUUCAGGUACCUAGUUUGGCUAACUGCUACAUUACUUGACAAGAUUUUUGAAUUACAUUUAUUUGCUAUUGUCUGGAGUGUGGAGCUCAGGAAAUUAGGAAACCUAAAUGUCAUAUUAGUGUAUCUUGAACACUAUGCUAGUGAGAUUAGAUCUAUUUAAUGUUGUGGUUCAUUUAGCAUACUUGAUGUUCAUUAAUAACAUCCCUACGUUUUUAUGAGACUAUAUGGUCAAUGAGAAUAAAAUUUUUGGGGAAAAACUAUCUAAUGCUCAAGUUUUCCUUAAUGUAGUCGGUAUUCUUUUGAUGAGCUCGUUAUCACCCAUCUGCGGUCAGAUGUUUAGAAGCAGUGCCAACGGUUCUGUUUAAGGUUGUGUUUACAUUAGUGUAAAUGAGCAGCCUAAGCUGCACUUUAUCCAGAAGUAUGCAGUUCUGAGCAUUUGGUUUGUAUAUGUGACCUUUGAGCUUCAAAGUCAAGUUUCACAGAGGCAAAUGAAGCAUUAAAUGCUCCUUAAGUUAGUGUUACUUUUAAUGCUGAGAUUUGCAUUUCCUAUCAGCUAACUUCCCCCGAAACAAACAGCACAAUCAGUAAGAACACAGGUUCAUUGCUGUGAAACAAAUACUUGUAUAAAAGUCAAGUUAUUAGAAUGCAAGUCGAGACACUUAUGAUGUUUAAAUGUAAACAAAUACAUCUAAGCCUCUUUAUAACAUUUUAAUACUCUUAGAUUGCUGUGGAUGUACCAUUUGGUAUUCAUUAGAACAUAAAAACAACAAAAGCACCACCUCAAAAUAUGUUCAAUAACUUCUCAAAAAACAAAAUGAGCUUAUAAAAAGGAAAGAAAACAAACUUUCAUAGUUAUGAUUUACUUGGUUAAUACCAUAGCUGCUUGUGGAGGUGCUAAUUUAUCUAUUCUUAUUGCUUUCAAAUUUUGACAAACAAAUUUAUUAUUAUAUUAAGGUGAAUGUAGUUUGCUUGCAACAUUUCUGGUUGUGAAUUUCAUAUUUUUAUUUCCUGAUUAUUAUUUAAUUUAGAAAUGUUCCUCAUAGUCGUUUUUAAUUUUCAGCUGUUUGGUGGGAUUGUAAACUUUGGAAACCCGAAUUUGGAAGCAACUGAUCUUUUUGCGGAUGAGUAUCCUUAGGAUGAAUAUCUCGCAUUGCCCCCCUGGUUUACAUUGAGUCUUUUGCUUGCAUGACCUUGUACUAGAAUUGGCAUAUAAUUUCUCUAUUACAUGAUAUUUAGUUAUAUUAGGUAGACUGUUUUGGGUGAUUGAUGAUUCUCCUUAAUGAAUUUAGCUAUGUUCUUUUUAAUUUUAAUGACUACCCAAAUGGGAUGGUUACACUAUUCAACUUGUUAGUGAUGGGAAAUUGGCAAGUCUGGAUGCAGGUAUUAAAACAUUUAUGGUUUUCAUUUACUAAAAUGCCUUCUGUAUGCUUUAAUUUUUUGGUUUCAGUUGUAGAAAAGAAAAUAUUUGCAUAAUUUUGUGACUUGGUUUAUACUUAUUUAGUUAUUGACCAAAUAUAGAAAGGUGCCUUUUGGCCCUUUGGUACUUGAUUUUACUUUUGUCUGGAAACUUGAUAUUAUCAAGUGGAUCAGCUGAUUCACAUUUUCUACACUAAAAUCUCUUCAAUUUACUAAAAGACUGUCUCCAUUUUUUUAGUAGUGAUGCAAUUAAAUCUUCAUAAGAAAAUAUAAGAAAUUGUCUGGUCUUUUAAAGAACUAAUAGCAGUAAGCUUUUGAACUCUGAGUUAAAGUAUAGAAAUUUAGAGCUAGUCGCAUCGAUAUGGCCAUGUUAGUCUAAUAAAUUAUGGUGGUUAGCCUCCCCUUAAAAUUAUAUUAAUCAUCUGUUAAUUAAUAGAUAUAUAUGAACAUGUGCACCCUGAUUUGCAUGGAUAAAAUACUUACAAGAAUAGAACAAAACAUUAUUCUUUAUUCUUUUUAUGUUUGUUGUUACACACAUAUUUCUCUUAUUAAUUUAUUAUUUUUCAUGUAUAAUCUUAGUUAUGGGCUUUUAGAAGAUAACUGGGUGGAAUAGACACUUUUUUCACAAAGAGAUUCAGUUAAAAUUGUGCAUUUUGCUGGUCUGCCUACAUUAAAUACGAGUCAGCCAGUCACUUAGUUUCCUAAAGUCCAUGCUAGGUGUCUAGCGAAGGAAUAUGAUUUGGUUAUAGAUGGAUAGGAUGGCACAAUCAAUUGGAGUUUAGGAAAAAUGUUCAAAUUAUGAUGCAGAUCUUGGAAGGGGGGAACGAGCACUUGUGGCUAGACCUAUGAUGGGGGAAUGGGAAAUUGGAGUCAAUUGUCAAAUGCGGUAGAAGGGUUAGGAGAAAAAUGAUGCAGAUGCAAUGUCCGUUGAUGCAAAUCUUGGUUCUGGUUUUCGUCCCCUUGGGUAGCAUUCAGCAGUUUCAACAAUUUCGAUGGUUUUGCUCUGAGUGACAAUCCAAAUGGGACUAAGAGGUUCUGGACUUAACAAAGAUAUCAUCCAUGUAAUCCUCCACGUGAUCAUGCAUGAGGUUGUGGAUGAUUGUUACCACUGCUCAUCGAUAGGUUGCCUUGGCAUUCAUAAAAUCAAAUCAAGUUAUUUAACAUAAAUUUUAUUUUAUUUUGGCUUAUCUAGGGUCAUAAUCUUGUAUUGAGGCUACAUGCCUUUAAUAUAUCACAUGUAUAUACCAAUUUAUCGAAGACUGACAUCAAAUAUCACAUACUUAAACAUAGACUUAAAAACACGGGUGGAGGAGUAUAGAAUUAGUUACAUUUACAUGUUCAAUGCUACAUAUUAUUGUAAGGUAGGUCAUGCAAAUAAUGGUGAUCAUUAUCAUCAUCAUUAUCACAAUUCACAACAUUGAUGGGAAAACUGAUGGGUAUGAGGAUGGCUGUUGAAAGGGAAGUCAAAAGUAUAAGUUUAUGAAAUAAUUCCUGGUAAGGUACUGAUAUUUGAAAAAUUUUAAAACCAUCAGUAUGUAUGUAUGUAUCCCAUUCUGUUUGAAAAAUUUAAAAACCAAAUCCCAUACUGUUUUUCCAUCAGAACUGCGCCGUGCGACCGGUAUGGACUGGUAUGGCUGGUCCAUAGUGGUGUGCAGUGCUGGUUUAGUGCCGCAAUGGUAUGGUUUGUCCAUCUUUUGUGUUAUGCAAGUUGUAGCAGAUUUCAUGAAUUUGAAUUUUGGCACAACUGUUUUUCCCGGAGAAACUAAGGACGAUCUUUCUAUUCAGAGCUACAGGGAUCUCACAGGAACUUCUUGGACACUCGUUUACUUCAUCAGUUUUUAUCUUAUAACAGUACUACUUCUGCUUAAUCUGGUGAGUUCUAUAUAACGGUUUUCUGUAAUUCUUUAUAAAUGCAUGUGCUUGGUUGAAGACAGCAUAUAUAAUUACUAUAAUUGCAUUCUAUGAUGUUCAACAGGUGUAUUUGUAAUACCUGUUUUUUCUUCACACAAGGAAAAUCAAUUUGUUUGUUUGUGAGGGUAUUUAAACCGCUAGUUCAAUAAUCUGCCAACCAAUUUUGGUAGUUUGACAUGAUUUCCCAAGUGACAUGGCCAAAUAGUUGUAGCGGAUGUAAACAUUUCAUAUGUGCCAUUUACUUGCCAUUUUAAAUCAUUGUUUCAUAGAUUUUCUUUAAACAUUCACUUAGUAUUCUGAUCAUUCUUACCUUAAAGCUUCUUUUUGUACUGUAAUUUUUAGAUUUCUGAUAUCACUUGAUGAUUUUGGUUCACUCUUUAUUGCGACGGAACUUUUUUCAUAGUGAAACCUCUUUUCUCAAGACUAAUACAUACUAGUACAGCCAGCUGGCCAAAAUCAGCAAAUGCAUGCUGCGCCUUCAUAGUUAACCUUCUCUCUUCCUUUUUUCAUAUCAGUUCAUCGAAAGAUUCAGCAAAGCAUACUCCCAUCUCCUCUUUUAGCUAAAUCCUUUUCCUUCACCUCCCUCAAUGAUUUCACUAUAUCUCAAACAAAUGGAAACACCAACUACAGCAAUUUCCCUUUCAUUGAGAUUCCCAUGUAAUAUAAGACUCCACAUGCUCCCCCCCACCCCGGUAUUUGGGAACUACACACUCUCUCUCUUGGAUUCGCACACAACAUUUUUUUUUUUUGGCUAAUUGUUCCUUUUGAAGCCAUGUCCAUCAUGUUAAGCAUAUUAAUCAAGGUUUUACAUUCCGGUGGAUUGGGGGAGGGGGGAUCCCGACCGUAAUAUCCCAUUCCUACGAGAAAAUGGGACUAGGAUGGGGUUGGCACUCCGAAACCUGUUCAUAUGGAGAGAGAAGAAGAAAGAGGAAAGAAAGAAAGGAAGAUGAAGAAAGAAAAAAAGUAGAAAGAAAAGAAGAAGAAAAAUGAAAGAAAGAAAGAUAGGGAGAAGAAAAAGAAAGGAAAGAGAGAAUAAAAAAAAGAAAAAAAAGAAAGAAAGAAAGGUAGAAAAAAAUGAAAGAAAAGGAAGGUAGAAGAAAAAGAAAGAAGAAAAGAAAAAAAGAAAGAAAAUAAAGAAGAAGGAGAGAGAGAUAGAGGAUAUCUAUCGUGAUGCAUGCUUGGGAUUGCUGCUGAGACGGGACAGGAUAGUAAGACAUCCAGUUCCAUGGAGAUAUUGAGAUGCCUCUGUCCCACGAGAUUUCAAACAUUUCCUUUACCGCUUUCAUUUCAUUCAUGUUACUUGUCCCCCAAUUUUUAUUAGACUUUUAUUCACCAAUUUAUAUGAUGGACAAUUUGUGAGCAUCUUUGGCUUAUAAUCACAUAACCAAAUAAUAUUCCAUUACAACUUAUGACAUAGCAGCUAUUUUGCUUCCUUGGGCAUACAACCUGGUGUUGUCAUUCCAAGUGUUGUAAUUCAUCUAUGCUCCAUGUUCAUCCAGUGCGUUGAGCCAGCCGUCUUGAUAAUCCCAUUUCUGCGAUACUCAUCACAUGCACAUCUUACCUUGCAUGGUCUACCAAUCUGGUUUGCACAAUUCAUCUGCUCCAUCCGAGUAAUGCUCUAUAAAUACUCUCAAACAUGCAUGUGCAAUGCAUGUUGGAAAUACAUCACAAUAAAUGAAAGGUAAUAUGGAAAACAAAAUUGGUAAGAAUAAAUCUUCUCAUAAAUUGAAAGUUUAGAGUAGUAAAAUCUAAAUUUGUUUUAGAUUGAUUGUUAAUAUAAAAGAUGUUAUUUUGGUAAAGUGGAAAGUCCCCUAGAAUCCUAAAUAGAUUUGGAUUUUUCUAAAUCAGAUUUUAAAUUUCAAUUGUAAAUGGAGAUUAUUCUCGACUCAAUUCUAAAUUUCAUCAGAGAACAAAAGUUAUGGUAAGGUUGUGACAAUCAAUAUUUGGGUUUUUCUAGAGUUAAAUGGAGUACAUUUUGGGGAGAAAAAGCGACUGGCAAAUCAAAUGGGUUUUUAAUAUAGCAUAAAUAUGACUAUUUGAUAGGACCAAGACAAGUGAUACGAAGAUUUUGUUUCUAUCUAGUUACAUGAGGAACUAUGAACUGAAUAUGAGUUGAAAUGCUUUUAAAUGCAAACAGGCAAGGUUUCUAACUAGGUUGUGCAGAAGGUGUUGCAAACUGUCAUUUAGUGUAAACAUCAUAUAUGUGAUGGUUUGAAAUCCAGAACAUGAAAAUUUUAUGAUGGUUGAAACUAGAAGAGGCUCGCAACUGCAUUUUUUUAGUAGGGUAAAGUCAUUGUCUCUUUAUGAUUUUUUUCAUAUAUCUUUUUCCCCAUACGCCGUGCUAGAUUUGGACAAAGUUUAUCGGCUAGGCUUUUAAGUUAAUUGGACCAUUUUCAAUCUGUCUUCCAUUUCAAAUUUAAGUGGUCUCACAAAGCUCUAUUCUAUAUUCGCUAGUUCCUUUAAAACUACACUAGGAUACUAGAAGUGGACAUUCUUUCUCCUUUCCAUAGAGGGGAAAUAUAUGAACAUGGAAACUGCCAGGUGAUCUUUUAUUCCAUUGAUUCCUUCUUUAAGAAGAAGUGGCACUGGAUAGAAGUAUCAAACUUUCAUUUCCUGAAAACUCACAUCAAGUCCUAUGUAAAAGCAUAAAAUGUAAUAGCUUGAAGAAGCUGGGUUGAUUUAUUAAUUGGAUCUUUUUGCCUUAGGCUUUUAUUUAAGAAGGAAUGGUACUCAUAUUGCCUUUUUCUCCUAGUUUUUAUGCUAGAUCUGCCUUCUCUACAAAUGCUAAUGGUCAUAUACUUAUCUCAUGAUCUAAUUAGAACAAUGGCUGUACAUAUUGUGAAAACUAAGGUGAUACUUUCUCUAUUUGGCCUCUCUAACCAUAUCUAGUUAUGAGACUUGCGGCAACAGAACUACAUUCUCGGGUAACGAAAUGCUGAUUCUUUUGUUUGCAUGACUAAGUUACUAACAGAUAGACUUGUUUGAAAGUUCAAAAGUAUUUACAAAAUGUCUGGAUUUUCCAUGUGGAAGUGACUUGACCCUUACCUUUAGCCCUAGUCUGUAGUUGCAAGAAGACAAGAAAUUUUAAGUCAAAUUAUUUGUGUAUCUGCUUCAAAGGAAAGUUGAUAAAGCUGUCCAUUUCCAGGUAAUUGUUGGUGAAUGAAAUUAAGCAUUAAUUUCUGUUUUGUCAUUUCAGGUUGUAGCAUUUGUUCUGGAGGCAUUCUUUGCUGAAAUGGAACUUGAAACAACUAGUGGAUCUGAAGAAGACAAGGUUUGUGCAUACUUUAUUAUUAUGAGCCUCCAAGGAAAAAAUUUGGUCAGAGAACCUUUUUCUUUGUGUCAUUCCAUUAGAGAGUAAUGCUUGGUCUGUCAGACAGAUGAAGAACAAGAAAUCAUCACCUGAUGCCUUAUCUAAUUAGUUACACCUUAUUCUAUCAAAAUAUGACCUCAUGUUAAUAUGGAUUGCAAAAAAUAGAAUCUAGAAAUGCGUCCGUUCAACUGUUUCUAAAGGAACACCUCCGACAUGUAACUUGAUUUCUAAUCUGCAUUGUUACAUGAUUUUAUAUGCAUAAUAUAUACAAGUGCAUGGAAGGUUUAAAAAUGCCAAUACGAGACACCUUACGUGUUCUAAACCAGAAAGGCAUGGUACUGUACGGGUACUGUUAGGAGACUGGGUACGGGCUGAAAUGGUUAGUAGUAUCAACAGGGAUAAACAAGGAAUGGUAUGUACUGACUCCUGAUGCAUCUUGACUAUUGGUACGCGACUGUGUUGUACUGGUUCCACCUACUGCAGCAUCCUGCACUUACUACUAGUCCCAUUUUUCAUCAGAACCAUUCGUUACCAUAAUUACCAUCCUGUAUGAAUGGUAUUUGAAACCUUGGGUGAUGGAUUGCCCCAAAUUUCCUUGGUACUUAAUAAGAAAAAGUUGUCAGCCUCUUACUAACAAAAAAAAUUGUGUUGAUUCCUUUUUUUGGGAAGAAACACCUCAUUAGUUACUUUUAUAUCAUGUUUAUGUGUCAUGAUCCAUUAAAUUUUGAGUACAUCUUAUGUGCAGCUGUCAGCUGGAUGCUAAUUUUCUAUGAACUGAGUUUGAAUUGUGGGCGAAGUUAGUUGUUGGCCCUCAUGGGCCUUGCUAUGUAACUUUGUUUAAAGCCAUGCAACUAGGGAGCAAACCUAAGGUACCGAUACUGGGAAAGUACUUAGAAGAUGAUGGCAGAAGGCAGGGUCAUGUUUAUUGAACUACAUGUAAAAUACAAAUCAUAAACCAAAGAGCUAAGUAAUACCAUUAUCUUCAUUCUAAAUGAAACAUAUUAAUAAAGUAAAAAAAAAAAUCUCUUAAAACGUAUACUAGCAUAAUGCCAUUCUUUCCUGAUAAUUAUCAAUUUUAAGUUACCAUAAUUUUCUCCCUUUUUUUGAAAAAAAAAAAAAGGUUUCCUCCAGAAAACCUAUCAGCUGUUGGUGUUAUUCAGUAUUUAAAAUGAAACUUAUCUUCCAAAGAUCGUUGCAUUUAUGUCAGUUCCAAUGAGGGCAUGGUGAAACUAUUGUUAGAAAGUUCUACCUAUUAUUUAGUGAAAUAAUACUAUGCUUGCGCAUCUAGGCAAAUUACCUUUUAACAAUCAAUAUUGUAGAUAAUUAUUUUCUUUGGGUUUCAUAUGAGUGGUUCCAUAUGGUAACCUUUCUGAUAUCAUCUUUGUUCUUUGCAGUGAGUGCUUCUAUGAUAAUUUGUUGAGUGUAAGAGUAGGAUCUUACUUCAAGGACAUAUUUUCUGGGGUUUGGAUGAAAAAGUUAGUGCGUAAAAACAUUUUUUAUGACUUUGCUGGGUCUCAAGUAGAUAAAUUGUCAUGGUUAUAUAGUAUACAGGUAUUAUAGAUUGUCAUGGUUAGAUAGGACACAGGUAUUAUAGAUACCAUUCAUCCCUUAUUUUGAUGUCAUCGUGUUUACAUGCACAAGAUGUUGACAUUGAACUGUAAUUGGUCAGCAAAUAAGAGAGCAGUGUUUAUCUAUUGUUUUCCAGCUGAACUGCUUAUUCUGUAACAUAAAUUGGUUUUACCUUCUCCCUUCUACAUUUUCUGUAACACCUGUACUAGUGUCUAUGAAUUUACUUUCUUGUUUCAGGAUGCAUCUCGAAAGGACCGACGCAGAUGUGUCGGGUAACAGUCUCAUACUUGGCAGUUUAUUGUGUAGAUAGAUUAGUUUAUGUCCAGUAAAUAUGACUAUCCUUGUUAUAUUUUGAUUCAGUGUGAAGACUAGGAGUCGCACCGUAGACAUUCUUCUUCAUCACAUGCUAAGUACUGAACUAAGCCAAACUCAGAGCUGUAAAGCAUAGUUCUACAUCUACAGGGUAAUAAGAGCCUCUAUGUUGUUCCUGUUCUCUCUUUUUCAAAUAAAUCAUUUAUAUAUGAUCUGAAAAAUCAUGUUAACAUAUUUUUAUUUGGAUUUGUGUGUUGUCAGGCAGUGUUUCCUCUUUUAUUAUGGUAAAUGUUUGUCACACUUAUUUGUUUCAUGCACGUUUUCUUGAUUCUUUUAGAGCCCUGCACAUGAUUCUGUUGUAUUUUGGGGUGAGACUGAGGUGGAGAUCACCAUAGCUUUAAUAUGCCACAAGGCUGCCAGACAUCAAAGUGUGUGAACAACAUAUGCUUAGAGUCCCCUUUUGCCUUAACUCCUCUUGGACGCUAUAAGUCUAAAUUUGUGGGAGGUGGGGAAGUAUGAAUGUGCAAGUACACACGCUGUAAAUGGUUUUGUGUUAAAUUAUGCAGUUUUGUCCAUUAUGAGGGUAAAAGUCUUCCAAAGGAGCACCAUGCGCAAAUCAGAAAAGCUGAACGUAGGCUAAAGAAGUGCCUAGCGUCCCAGUAAUGGUAAAGAAAUUUCCAAUCGUCCCAGACAAUUAAGUUCGUUGUUAGAUUAUUGGCUACAAUCUAGACAGAAGUUGGUCAUUGUACAUAUUUUUGUGUAUUAAAAAGAGUCACGGAUCUUAAAUUAUUAGAAUAUCUGGUGCGGACAUCAGAGCCAUCAGGAGUCGACGAUAUGAUUUAGAUUCGAUUUGGAUUGAAGAAGUCUCGUUAGAUUGACUCUAGUUCAGUUAUUUAUUUUCAGUCAAUAAAUUUUUGAUACAUUUAGCUUGGAAUCCAUAGGACCAUACUUAGGUUUGUAUUGGGUUUGUCCAUGUCAUUUUCGGAGCCAUCACUCUCUACACGUUCACUCUCUACACGUUCAGAGAAGAAAUAUGCAUACCAGCAUAUGCCGUGUUCAAGGAUUCAAGUUGUGCCAAGCAUCAAGCAUCCAUAUGGAGUUUCAUUUCUUAUUUUGUUGAAGGUUGAUUGUUUUUUCAUGGUAGAUUAUUUUAUUUGAAAAUCAGACAUAAUACUUUACUUUUUUAUAUGAGAGCUGAUUUCUUCCUUAUAAAAGAUAAGGAAUUUUUAAAGAAAUAAGACUCCUAGGGUUCUAUAUAAAUUUUUGUAUCUUUUACGAAGAGAGCAAUGAAUGAUUUUAUAAAUCUCCAAAAUACUUGUGUCAAUCGCUCCGAGAGAGGGAGGGUGUGACCUAAAAUCAUCUCACAAGGGGAGGGUGUGAGGUCCACUUUCUAUCUUAUCUUUUUAAUCUUCAUCUAUUUGAGAUUCAGUAUUCCUACGAUCUCGAUUCGACUCCAUCUACCCACGCAAGUCUAUCUCAUCAAGAGAAGAUCUGUCUCUUUCAAAAUUUUCAUCUAUUGUGCUGAGAGAAAAGAGUGAUCUUUUAUUCUACAGAUCAUAUGCUGUUAAAUAUCUUCAUUCUUUCUCGGUUGAUCUUUGAUUUUCAUUUUUUUGUUAGAUCCGACGUUAAUAAAGGCCUAGUUCUUCGAUGGAUCUAUUUGGUUAAAGAUUAAGAGUCUUAAUCAGAGUAGUUUCUUAACUAUCAUGAUUUGGAUAUUUUUAUCAUCUUCUCGGAUUUUUCAUGGAUUUAAUGUUUUAUUCUCUCUCAUUCUAUUCAUAUUUUUUUUGCAUUUACUCGUGAGUAUGUUUAAUUUCUGCUAUCUAUUUAUGGAUUUUUUUAUNNNNNNNNNNNNNNNNNNNNUGCUAGUUAUUUACUGAUCUCUAGAAUGACAUUCAUCUGCAUCAUUUAGAUUGAUCUCGCUUUAGUCUCGUAUCAAUCAAUCACGCCUUCUGAGUAGAGUAUAGGCAACUAUACUGUCUGUCCUGAAAAUAAUGAUGUCCUUGAUCGGAUGUGAUUUAUUGUUGAUGAACAGAAAGGAGCUUGAUCAUUAGGAUUGAUUUCUUUCUCUUUUUUUUAGGGUUGUCCUGCAUCAAUUUGGUAUCAAAGCCAAUUGAUUAGAGCUUUAGUUUAAAUUUAACAAUUUAAAUUUCUGCAAGUUAAAUUUUCGUACUUUAAAUUUCGUAAUUCACUUUCAAGCAUUUUAAUUUUCUUAUUGCAUCUUAUUCUUGCAUCUUAGAUUUGCAUGAUCACUAGAUCAAAUACCUGGUACCAACAUCCUACUCCACCCAACAUCAAUAUGGAUCCCAAUACAGCAGCCAUCAUUAAUGCUCUGAGUGAAAAGUUUGAUGACAUGAAAAAUUUUAUGAAAGCCAUGAAUGAGAGAAUAGUAGUAUUAGAAGAAGCUAAGUAGAAACAACCUGAACUUGAGUCUCUCGACUGUCUGUAGGACAGAGGUAGGAAUUUAGAAUUUGAUCGACCUAUAGAAGCACGUCUGCAUCAUAAACAGUUCGACCAAGAUGAGCAUAUCUUUAGAAAUGUGAAGGUCGAAGCUUCAAGUUUUGAUGGUUGUCUAAAUCCGAGAGAGUACCUAGACUGAGAAUCAGGCAUGGACUACUACUUUGGAUGGUACGAAAUGUUUGAAGCAAGGAGAAAUAGGUUUGCUAGGAUGAAGUUGGUUAGGCAAGUCCGAUUUUAUUGAAAAAAUGUUGAGCGUCUUCUCAACCAGAAAAGACAAGACCUGAUAGAAAUUUGGGAUAAGAUGAAAGAAAAAUUCAAAGAGAAGUAUCUCCCCACCUCCUACCAACAAAGACUUUUAGAUCAAUGGCAGAGGCUUACUCAAAGGAAUAGAUCAGUCAUUAAGUAUGUCACGAGAUUUGAUGAGUAUCUCAUGAGAUGUGGAGUAGCCGAAGAUAGGGUUGUUAUCUUGUCUAGAUUUAUAGCUGGAUUACGCGAGAAAGCUCUUUCUACGAGAGGUGACCAUGUUAAAACAAGCUUAUCAACUUGCCUUAGACUUUGAGAGAUUCUUUAGAUAUUCGACUCUCCGUCGUCCUGAACCUAAUUGAGUAAUUUUUUCUGGAUCGAGACCCAAUAUUAAUCAAGCUCUUAGUAACGGACCUCCAUUUAUAAAUUCUAUUGGGAGAAAAGAAGAUAAAGGAAAAGGAGCUAUAGGAGAGUUAUCAAAAAGUAGUUCUCGAUCUCAUUGCUUCAAGUGUCCAUGAUUACGGUCACUUUGCUGUACAAUGCUCCAACCGAUCAUUAUUCGUGGAAGAAUUAGAAGGAGAAAUCCUAGAAAAUAUUGAGGAGGAAGUUUAUGAAGCCGAUCCAGAUUUAGUCGAGCAAUUUGAGAGUACUGAGGACAUUUUGGAUUAUGUUGCACCCGAGUCAGACCUUAGGUUUGGAGUCAUUAGAUAUAUUCUAGUACAGACUAGGAAAAGUGAAGAUUGACGUAGGACUUCUAUUUUUCAUACCUUCAUAAAAUUUGACGAUAAAAUUUAUAAAGUGAUUAUUGAUAGCGGUAACUGUAUCAACGCCAUCUUCACCGAUAUGGUUAAGCGAUUAAGAUUAAUUCCUGUAGAUCAUCCCAAUCCAUAUUGUGUAUCUUAGAUAGAUUCUUCCUCUAUUCUCAUCAAAUUUAGAUGUCGUGUGCCCAUCCAGCUUCGUUCCUAUCAGGAUCAUGUGUGAUGCGAUGUCUUACUUAUGGAAGUCGGAAGUAUCAUAUUAGGUUGGCCUUGGCUAUUCGACAAUGAUGUUACGAUUUAUGACCGAAUCAACUCCUGUAGCUUUAUUCAUCAAGAUAAGAAGAUCACGAUUAAUCCUUCUCCAUCUAAAGCUAUCAAUAGAAAGAUAGACGAUGGACUAAAAGAAAACAUCAAGAAAAAAAGUCUCCAUCUGAUAGAUGCUAAAGAAUUAGAGACGAUCAUGAGUGAAGGAUCACCAGUUUGGAUGCUUGCUGCAAGAAAAGUUCGUGAGGACUCUAAGGUGGAUUAUCUUAAGUGGCUAGCCUUCUUAGUGAGUUUCAUGAUGUCUUUCCUGAGGAUCUCCCACAUUACUUACCGUCUAUGAGAAAUAUUCAACAUGCCAUUGAUUUAGUUUCUGAAUUUAUCCUACCCAACUUGCCUCAUUAUAGGUUGAACCCUACUGAGCAUGUCGAGCUACAAAGACAAGUUGAAGAGCUGAUAAAAAAAAGAUUUGUGAGAGAGAAUUUGAGUCUUUGUAUGGUUUCUGCACUAUUGACUCCAAAGAAGGAUGGUACAUGGAGGAUGUGCAUAGAUAGCCGUGCCAUUAAGAAGAUCACUGUAAAGUAUUGCUUCUCUAUCUCUAAGUUAGAUGACAUGCUAGAUAUAAUGGUCAGAGCCAUUAUUUUUUCUAAAAUUGAUCUUAAGAGUGGUUACCAUCAAUAAGGAUUAGAUCGAAAGAUGAGUGAAAAACUAUUUUUAAGAUGAAAGAUGGUUUAUAUGAGUGGAUGGUGAUGUCAUUUGGAUUAUCUAAUGCUCUUAGUACUUUCAUGAGGUUGAUGAUCCAAGUAUUAUGAUCAUUUAUAGGAGUGUUUGUAGUCAUAUACUUUGAUGACAUUUUGAUCUAUAGUUGAACUAAGAAAGACCAUCUAGACCAUCUCCGAAAAGUGUGCCAAGUUCUUAGAACAGAAAGCUUGUAUGCUAAUCUUAAAAAGUGCACUUUCAUGACAGACUGUAUUAUCUUUUUAGAUUUUGUUGUUAUCUCCGAUAGUGUGUCUACCAAUUUUGAAAAAAUUAGAGCAAUAGUUGAAUAGUCGGUACCCAAGAGUGUGCAUGACGUGCGAAGUUUUCAUAGAUUAGCAAUCUUUUAUUGUAAGUUCAUAAAAUGGUUUAGCACUAUAAUCAUUCCCAUCACUGACUGCAUUAGAAAGGAAGAUUUUGAAUGGACUAGGACAGCCAAUAGAACUUUCCUAGAUAUUAAGGAUAAGAUGACCCAUGGCCCAGUCUUACGUCUACCUGAUUUUUUCAAAAUUUUUAAAAUAGCAUGUAACGCAUCAGGAGUUGGGAUUGGUGGUGUCCUUAGUAAAGAAGGCCAUUCGGUAGCAUAUUUUAAUGAGAAACUUAACGAUUCUAAACUCAAAUAUUCUACCUAUGAUAAGAAGUUUUAUGCAGUAAUCCAAGCUUUAAGAUAUUGAAGACAUUACUUAUUAUCGCAAAAAUUUAUUUUGUACCCUGAUCAUGAGGUCCUCCAAUUUUUGAAUUCUCAAAAGAAACUGAGUCAUAGACACGGUAGGUGGAUCGAGUUUUUGCAAGUCUAUACUUUUGUUUUGAAAUACUGUGCAGGUAUAGAGAAUCGUGCUGCUGAUGUCUUGAGUCGUUGUCAUACUUUACUGUCUACCAUUAGUAUAGAAGUUGUUGGUUUUGAUAAGGUUAAAAAAAAUUAUGAGGAGUGUCUAGAUUUUGGUGACAUACUUACCGCUUUACGUAAAGAGCCAUCUAGAGAAUAUGGUGAAUACAUCCUUCAGGAUGGUUAUCUAUUUAGAGGAACUAGGCUGUGUAUCCCCCGUACAUCUUUAAGAGAUUUUUUAUUUUGAGAAUUGCAUGUUGGAGGAUUAGCUGAAUACUUUGGUAGGAAUAAAAUCAUAGAGUUGGUAGAAGCUCAAUUCUUUUGACCAAGCUUGAAAAGAGAUAUCAUUCGAAUUAUUGUCCAGUGUAGAACGUAUGCCGUGGCCAAGCAGAGAAAACAAAACAUCGGCCUAUAUACAUCCCUAUCUAUACCGGACUGUCUUUGGCAAGACGUUAGUAUGGAUUUUGUUUUGGGAUUACCUAGGACAACUAGGAAGCAUGAUUUUGUUCUAGUGGUUGUAGAUAGAUUUUCAAAAAUGGCUCAUUUCUUAUCCUGUUGCCAAACAUCCGAUGCGUCGAAAGUUGUAAGGAUAUAUUUUGAUGAGAUUGUUAGACUACAUGGAUUGCCUAAAACUAUUGUGUCUGAUAGGGAUGUUAGAUUUAUGAACUACUUUUGAAAAAUCCUAUGACACCUUCUAGACACAAAACUAAAAUUAUUUUCUACCUAUCAUCCACAAACAAACGGUCAGACCGAAGUGAUCAAUAGGAGUCUUGAAAAUCUGUUGCGUUGCUUGAUUGAAGAACAUAUGGGUAACUGGGAUUUUUUACUAUCCCGAGUCGAAUUUGCAUAUAAUAGCUCUGUUAGUAGGUCUAUUGGCAUGAGUUCUUUUGAAGUAGUUAAUGGAUAUCAACCUAGAAAACUAAUAGACCUCAUCCCACUGCCCAUGCAUGCUAGGAUUUCUGAAUCUGCAGAAUCAUUUGCAUAGCAUGUCAAGAGUAUGCAUAAAGAGAUCAGUAAAAAAAAUUAGCAUUAGCAACAAAGUUUAUAAACAGAAUACAGAUUCUCAUCGACGUGCCCAAGAGUUUGCGGAGGGAGACUAUGUAAUGGUUCGAUUGAGGUCGAAACGGUUCCCAUCUGGAACCAUGAAGAAGUUACAUGCCCGAAGAGUAGGUCCAUUUAAGAUCAUAAAAAAAAUCGGACCAAAUGCGUAUAUUGUGGACUUCCCUUCUGAUUUUGAUAUUAGUUCUACUUUUAAUAUUACAGGUCUCGUCACCUAUAAAGAGCCAACUUGGAUACUUAGUGAGCCGUUUGAGCUUGAACCAACCUUUGGGAGCGAAUCUGUCCAUGAAUGUCCACCAGCCAAAAUAUCAACAAAAUACAAUCAGAUUGAGAGAAUUUUGGACGAGCAGAUCCUUUCCACCCAGAGUCGAGGCUAUCAGCGGUAUUUGAUCAGAUGGCAAGGUCGAUCGGAGUCUAAAGAUAUCUGAAUCACUCGAGAAGAGCUGCAGCGCAUUAAUUCCGAUCUGUUUGAGCAUCACCAGAGUAGAAUCGAUCCACACUCAAUAAGAUCGAGUUCUCCCCACUUCAGGAGAAUUGAUGCGGACAUCAGAGUCAUCAGAAGUCGGCGACAUAAUUUAGAUUCGUUUUGGAUCGAAGAAGUCCCAUUAGAUUGACUCUACUUUAGUUAUUUAUUUUCAGUCAAUAAAUUUUUGAUGCAUUUAGUUUUGGGUCCAUAGGGUCAUACUUGGGUUUGUAUUGGGUUUGUCCACGUCACUUUUGAAACCACCACUCUCCACAUGCCCAAAGAAGAAAUAUGCAUGUCAGCAUAUGCCAUGCUCAAGGAUUCUCAUGCCAAGUUAUGCCAAGCAUCAAGCGUCCAUAUGAAGUUCUAUUUUUUUCCUAAGAUUCCUUAAGAAUUCUUGACUACUUACUUUAUUGAAGGCUGAUUUCUUUUCCAUGGUAGAUUACUUUAUUUGAAAAUCAGACAUAAUGCUUUAUUUUUUUGUGUGAGGGCUAAUUUCUUUUUUGUAAAAGAUAAAGGAUUUCUAAAGAAAUAGGACCCUUAGGGUCUUAUAUAAAUCUUUGUAUCUUUCAUGAAGAGAGUAAUGAAUGAUUUUACAAAUCUUUCAAAUACUUGUGUCAAUCAUUCCGAGAGGAAGAGGGUGUGAGAUCCAAAAUCACCUCACAAGGAGAGGAUGUGAGGUCCACUUUCUAUCUUAUUCUUUUAACUUUCAUCUACUUAAGAUCUAAUAUUCCUACGAUCCCAAUUCGACUCCACCAUCUACCCAUGCAAGCCUAUCCCAUCAAGAAAAGAUCCAUCUCUUUCAAAAUUUUCAUCUAUCGUGCUGAGAGAAAAGAAUGAUCUCUUAUUCUACAGAUUAUAUGCUGUCAAGGAUUUUUGUUCUUUCUCAAUUGAUUUUUGAUUUUUAUUUUUUUAUUAGAUUCGACGUUGGUAAAGAUCUUGUUCUUUAUCGACAGAUCUGUUUGGUUAAAGAUUAAAGGUCCUAAUCAGAAUAAUUUUUUAACUAUCACGAUCCAAAUUUGUCAUCUUUUCAGAUUUUCUCACAGAUUUAAUAUUUUAUUAUCUUUCAUUUCAUUCAUAUUUUUUUGUAUUUACUCAUAAACAUGUUUAAUUUUUACUAUCUGUUUAUGAAUUUUCAUAUUGCUAGUUGUUUACUGAUCUCUAGAAUGAUAUUCAUCUGCAUCAUUUAGCAUCAUUUAGAUUGAUCUCGUUUGGAUCUCGUAUCAAUCAAUCACGCCUUCUGAGCAGAGUAUAAGCAACUAUACCAUCUGUUCUGAAAAUAAUGAUACUUCUGAUCAGACGUGAUUCAUUGUUGAUGAACAGAAAAAAACUUGAUCAUUAGCAUUGAUUUUUCUCUUUUCUUUACGAUUGUCCCGCAUCAAUAUCUAGACUGACCAUAGGUAUGCACAAAUUGAGUAGGGUUCAUUUUUCUCGCAACAUUUGAUUUAUUGCAUUGAAGUUUACGAAGAAAAAGAUCAUAUUUCAUCCUGCCGGUUUGUUGCCUGAAAAAGUUUUAAUAUUUCGAAUGAUUUCCUUUUCAUCACAAUUUGCUUGAUGAUGCGAUUACAUGGUCUUGAUGAAGUGGUAGUCAGCAUAACCAGAAUCCAAGAUUUGACUUUAUACAUAAUUAGAACCAAAGUGACUUCUCUUUUUAAUAUUUGAUGCACAAGGCAGAGAAAUCAGUAUUUGAAAAUGUCUGAUGCCUGAGUUCACGGUGGAUUGAAAAGGGCGUUGAUCGCCCGUGGAUUAAAAGUUGUAUGGUUGCACUUCCUGAAAGUAAAUGGGUAUUUCUCAAAAGCGGCUACUUGUGUGUUCUGUUUUCAAAAGACGCGUCUUUUUAAGUUUUGCAGAAGAAGCUCUCUAAAUUUUCAACCCAACCGUGCUUUGCCAUACCUAUCUCUGGACAACCUCCCGAGGCUGAGAGGGAACAUGCAACGCCUGAGGGAAUUUUGCCAAAUUCCAGCAGCAGUCAACCUCCCAAACCAAUUCACGGAGUCACACAUCACGUGAGCCUUAUUGCCACCAUUCACGUCCCGCCUCACGCUUCCCUGUUCUCUAGCUUUUGUCCAUCUCUAUCGCAUCACUUUUCAUAGAUCAUAGACAAUAAAAUUUGUUGGAGGCUUGCUUUCAAGAAACAAAAAAAAGAAGCAAAAGAGGGAGAAUGGUUGUUCAAGAGAGAGAAGAAUCUCAAAUUCUUUUAAUAGAGAGUUUUUAUAAAAAAAUUAAAAUACUGAUGACAUUAUGUAAAAAAUUAUAUGAUUAUAGUUAUUAUAUAAAAAUUGAUCAUAGAUGUCUAUGCUAUUUUGAUAUCAAAAAUUAUUUUAUAUUGAUAGACUUAUUUAUAAAUUUCACCAUAUCUCUAUACAUGAUUAUUUUCAAUCAAAUAUAAUAAUUUUUUUAUAUUAUCAUUUUUCAGAGUAAUACCUUCACCAACCAAAUGUGCUAAAAAUUAUAGAUAAAUGAUUCACAAAAAUUAUUAGAUUACAGGAUAUAUUCCGACCAAAUGGAUUCUAAAUAGAUUUUUUGAAAGCCAUAUAUAUAUAUAUAUAUAUCCUAAAUAGAUGAUGCCCCAAAAUUCCAUGCAUAUAUUUGAAAAGGCGAUGUGUAUACGUUAUAAACUUUUAGCACAUAAAUUUGAUAUGGGUGAUCCACACAUGCCCUACUGGGAUAAACACGUUUAAAUAGAUGACGCGUUCAUUGGAUAAUGCCCUGUGAUGCGCACAUUCUAUGAUAUUAAACUUUACAAGCAUAAAACAACUAAUGAAUAUGUUAAAAGGACUGAUGCAUAUGUAUGAAGUGAAGGAUUCACGUACUUAAUUGUUAGUCCACACAUUUUAAACAUUUAUUUAUUUAUUUUUAGAAGGGGAGUGAUAACCGGUAUGAGCCUUGAUUCUUGAUUCACGUCCUCCUCAUCUCUGGCGUUACCGAAAGAGGUCUUUCAGCAUGUCGACCGCUUGGGACACGGACAUGUGAUUACAAAAUAUCAUGACGAGAAGAAACACUAAGGCUUAUUUGAGGUUCUAAUACUUCCAAAGUGAAAUUCGUUAUCUUUUUUUAAUUAAAAAAUGAAUUGAGAGGUUGCAAGGAGGAGAUGUUUGAUUGCUAUAAAGAUCUGAGCGAUAAAGGAAACAUGAGACAAAUGAGAAAAAAUUGCAUCACAAAAAUUCUGACAAGUAUGGUAAAACCAGAUUCCUCAUAUUGGGAAGUUGUGUUUUUGAAUUUUGAAUUAAAACAUGAAAAUUAGGCUAUAUUCCAGAAACAAAUGGAAGGAAAAAAAAAAAAGAAGAAAAUUCUGUAACUAAAUUUUUUUAAUCAAACACAGUAAAUUUAGAUUUCUCACAUUGAGAAGUUUCAUUUUAGAAUUUUUAAAACACAGAAACCAAGCUAUAUCCUGAUGCUAGUACUCUUUUGUAUUCGGAGUAAUGCUAGAGAAUGCAUCAUAUACACAUAGAAAGUUGCCUGGGCCGGGCCACGUGGCCCUAAUGCCAUUUUUUUGAUCAAUCAAUCACUUCUCUCGUGUUUGGUAUUAAUUACCAACCCCUAAUGCCACGUGGAAAAGACGAUGCAUACACUAUUUUUUGAUGAAUAUUCGGGACUUAAACCUUGAACCUCCUAAGUUUGCAUUUGAUACGUUGCCAAGCGUAACAUCGAUUGCCUAAGAUAGAUUGCUAUCAUUAAAUUGUCAAUACUAUUGAUUAUUGUGUUUAGCAUAUGCAGAUAAUGUUACAGUAAUAUUACUGAGAAUCUUAAUUGAUAUGUUUGAUAUAGCAAUCAGAUUAAGAAUAAUAUGAAAUUAAAAUUUCAAAAUACUCCUAGUAACUUUGCCUCCAGUGCUCUUUUUUCUCCCCGGCCCUCCAAUCCUCUUGCAUUAAUGACCUCGCUCUCCUCUCCUGCGUCGGCCUCCGCCCUAUCCUCCUCCAUGACGAUGGCCCAGAGAUCAACUCUUGGCUCCUCCACCUCAGCAACUAGCCUCAUUUCCACAAUGGCCUCCACGUCACGAACGACCUCACCAUGGAGAUAGUCGAGAUGGUUCUCGUCGGCAAGGCAAAUAAGUCCCUCUUCUCUCAUCAAUCUUGCCGGCGCCACCGCCAUGGGCCUCUUCAGCAAGGACAUCCGACUCCUCACCGCUCGCCCUGUUCUAGAUGCCGCAGCCCUUAGCUUUGUCAAUGAGGUGGCCGACAUUGACCCCACCAUCCUAUGACCCAUCCUGAUGGACAAUCACAUCCCCAUCAUCGCUUCCGUGGCCACAGGUGAUGUCGGGCAUGACUACAAUGUGAAAACGGAUAUUGUCGUAAGGGAGAUUGUGACCGCCAUAGGGGUGGAGAAGCUGAUCGUGAUGAUGGAUGUAGCAAGGAUCUUGAUGGAUCGAAACGACCUGAGGAGCCUGAUGAAGGAGAUGGACAUCAACAUGGGAGUGGUGGGGAUGAACGCGAAGGAGCCACAGAAGGAUGAUGGAGGAUGAGUGUGGAGGAGCUACGGAUGAUGCUGGAGGAAGGGACGAGAGGGUUGGACGACAGAUUUUGUAUGAUUCUGUUUGAGGGAUAAUUUUAUCUAAAUAUUUUAUUACAACAUUAUCAAAGAAAUGAUAAUCUGGAUAGUCAACUGUUCUCAAAGCUAUAUAGAUUGUCUUAUCGACAAUAUAGAUUGCUCAGAUAAUUUAGAUUGCCAUCCGAAAAAUAUACCUAUAUGCCCACUUUAAAUUACAUCCAGAUUGCUAGCUACCAAACAUGACCUAAAUGAUAAGUUCUUAGGGCUAUGGUGCUAGCCAGCUAUGCUAAUAAUUGUAGAUAGUGAUACAUAUAUUUGAAGCACACAACUCUCUUGUACUCAAUUUCAAAUGAACUAAUACAAAUGAUGCAUUUAUUUUGUAGAGGUGAUGCACUCAUUUAAAGACUAUUGAUGCGCAAAAUAUAAGAUAAUAAAAAGUUAAAUUAGAUAUUUUAAAUAAUUGAUGCAUUUCAAAUUGAUGACACAUACAUCUAAAAUAAAAUCUAUAACAAUACUCAUAUUAUAAAAUACCAGAGAGAGAGAAAGAGAGAGAGAUGGUGAUGGUGGACGGUUAUCGAGAUCGUGGUCAGUUAUGGAUAGUGAUGGAUAUCAUCGAUGCCUUAGGUGGUGAUGGAGAUUUUCGAUGGUGUAUAGGCACGAUCGUCUAUAAUAAAAAACAUUGAUGGAGAUUGAACGCAGUGGUUAAUAAUGGUAAAGAUCAACGAUGUUCUUUUUUCCUUUUAUCGAAAACCAUAUCCUUCCUUUUUUUUUUCUUUUUUUAUUUUUACAUUUAUUUUCAUCCCACUCACUCUCUCUUCUAUCCAUCAACUAUGGCAAGGAGUAUUUCAGUCAAUAAAAGAUCAGAAUGCUCUUUCCUAAGUAGCCAUUUUUAUGAGAUGCCCAAGGCAAAACUAAUAAAAUUUUUACCUUUGAGAGAUGCUUGACAGACCGCAACAAGCAGAUAUUCUGGAAUUUUGUUAUUUAGAUCUGAUCAGGCAGUCUCUAAAUAAUUGGUCACUGCACCAUAUGAUACAAGCUCAUGGCUACCUUUUGAUAUGGUAUACUGGUGUACAGGAAUGACAACAAGAACCAAAGGUGUUGAAUAUUACUUCGAGGUUCUAGAGGCAACUUCACGUCACUAUCGGACCGCAUAUAUCAGUGGGCAUAGGAAGCAUAUUGGAAUUGAUUUAUUCAUGCGGGAAUAUAUGAAUGGGUGGUUAUCUUUUGAGAUGCAAUGUCAGUGGAAUAUGCUUCUGUUAGAUUUUUCUUUUUGUCUAGUUUCCUUGUUGAAAUGUGAUAAUUUUUUUACUUAAUUUGUUUGGAGAAUAUUUAGGCUAGUAUGUCUAAUUGUCUAUGGAUAUGGUUAGCACUCAGCACUUCUAUGGAAUAACUGCCUGAUUAAGAGUACUUUUCACGCGCACUUACUGAAGCCUUAUUUUAAGAACUAACCCGCCACUGCAAGAGAUCAAGAUGAGGAUAAACUACAGUGACGUUACAAUAAGAAAGAAUGAAGACCAUGAGAGGGCAGGUUCUCCUCCGUACUCUAGCAAAGAAGGCAUAGAACAGUUUUUUGAAACAAUGAGAUCCUAAGUAAGACAAAUCCAGAUAUGCUUGCUACCGUUGAAUGCCUUGAAGGACAAGGUUCUCCAUUCAUGUUCUCUUCUAAUUUCUUUUCCAUUGAGCAUUUCCAGUUGCUUAUUCUCAUCUCUGUUUUGAAAUAGAGCAUGUGUAUCUGCAUGGAUUUGUCUUGCUCCGGUUCUAGUUCAUGUUAGCUUGGGAUGUUUAAAGGUAGUCCUGCACGGAUUCAUCUUGCUCUGGUUCUAUUCGCAACACUACGUUUCGGAUCUUCAGCAGGUCUAUAGGUAGAAAUUGAUCAUUUACUCCCAGAUACCUUAUCACUCCCUUUUUAGUCAUUCUAGUUACAUGUGAAUGCAAAAAAUUAGGGAUAUAAAACAAAUUUUAUUAAUAUUUUAUCAAUAUUUUUUUAAUAAAAAAUACAUGCAGCAUUCUAGUUACUUUUCAUGCACAAUAAUAGACUGAUUUAAUGGUGGACACUGAAGAAAGACUUAAAGUGACUCAUCAAAACAAGGAAGAGUUAAAGCAGCUAAACAUACCUUUUAUUGCGAUGGCACAUUCCUUCAACAAUAUUCAUCGAACAUCUGAGGAAGUAACUGCAGGAACUGUUUCAUAUCCUCCAGACCUUUUCUUCCAAGGAAGAAAGAAAGUACCACCAAAUCGUUGCUGCAAGUAUAUGAGCCCUGAAAGUAGCACUCCUGUGCAAGGAAUGAUGAUAUCCCAAGCUAAGGAAUAGAAGUCUUCAUUUGGACUGGCAUAUAUAUAGGAUGAGUUGAGAAGGGGCACAUAAUGACCAGCCCUAUAAGCAUCAUACACAUGAGGCAGUGCCCGAAUCGCAGUGAUUCCAACAUAAAAGGAUGGGGCAAGAGCCUUAUCCUUAGAGCUUGAGAAAAUGUUGAAGAUAACUUGAGGCAGCAGAAAUCCAUCAAAAAUCAAUCCAGCAUACGAUACUAGAUUUUCCCAGAAUGAAUGAUGGUUUGCAGCAGUCAAAAGUGGCUGUCGGUGUGAAGUCUGAUUACUGUUCACGCGCAUAAACCAAGCAAUCAGUCCCCCAGCCAGAUACAAAGGCAAAUAAAUCUGAAGAGCUUGCCUCUCAGCCAACCACAGGUCCCUUUUGCCCUCAUCUGCUGAUCUUGCAGUCCAUGCAACUUGAAGAAAACGCAACUGCAAUAGGAAAGCUACCAUCGUUAUGACUCUUACUAUAACCUCGUUAACCUCAAGCCACCCACCUCUCCACGAUAACACAUUCUGCUUGUUACGGCUCAUGAACAAAGCCUCAAAGUUCAGAACCAAGGGAAACAUGUAGCCCAAAGUAAGAAUGACAAGCAUUGCCAUAGAUAUGGUAGGAAGCACUUCUGGAUUCUUCACCGCAUGCAAGAGCUGCAACCCAAUGAAAAUACAUGAAAGCGUGAGAGAAAUCAGAACCAUUGUAAUUUCUAUUUUCCUUCUCCAGAUUGACUCAAUUGCUCGAUUCCUGUUCAUUCCCAUUGGCAUAAUCUCUAAAGGUUCAAAGAAAAGUGGGUCUGACUUGUCUCUUGUGCUCCUAAUCGUGCCCGAAAGAUGGUCACCAUCCUUCGGAUUCAAGGGAGCAAGCUGGAUACUGAUGAGAAUACCACAGUCCACCGCGAUGCCAGUUUUCUCUUGUUUUUCAACCACUGAGGAAUCCAGAUACCUACAACCCACCAUGCAGAGCGACCCUGUUUGAGCAUCAUAUACUCCUUCUGCUGAGAUCUCUGUUGGCAUGCUCAUAUAUGAAGAUGAACCGGAAAACAUAAAAUUUAUCUUGUAGCUCACAUUCUGAAGGCUAUGAUUUGUCUCUUUCACUGCAGGCAAAAGCUCUGGGUUCCCUCCAUCAUCAAAUGUCUCACCAAUUGACACUGGCAUUGCAGAACCCCUUGUACGCUUUCCCUCAGCAUUUCUCACGGAAAUAUAAAAUCUAAAAUCUUCGAAAUACUUCAAAACAGGGUAUUUCUUUUUACUCAAAUUCCACAAACUGCCCUUUACACAGGACUUACUCGCCGCAUCUAUCUUAGUGUAGUUAUAUUUCAUUCCAGGAACUGGAAGAGUAGUCCAAUCCUUUUCAGUGUUCCGGAAAAAAACUGUGUCGAAGUAACCAGAAGCAUUCUCAUUUUGGUCACUCCACAUUCGCCCAGCAAUGGUAUUCCGACUCUCAAUUGACCACACUGCAGGGAACCAAAAGCUCAUCCUAAUUGUGCAAUCAUCAACAGACAUAUUCACUGCUAAGGAAUUGCUAGAAAUCACUUUACGGCAAGCAACAAGGCAGAGCCUAUUCCUCUUUCGAUCCCAAACACCCUCAGCAACCAAUGUCUUCUCAGGCACCAAAAGUCUCCUAUGUUCGAAGCUAGUGUCGUUGGAGAAUUCUACAUACAUAUGUAAUUUCCCAUCAUCCAAACACUGGAUUAGGUUCAAAGACAUAAAUUUUAGGGAAAACCCUAAACUUUUAGUUAAAGGAACACAACGUCCACUGGAGCAUUGGCCUCCAUACUCCAUCACAAAUGGCCAUCUCAAAUACCUCUGGAGAUUAGUGCAAAUGGAACCAGAAUCAAGCCCUAAAGACUCCUCCUGAUCAUUCACCCUGGAACACGAUUUCUGAGCCGGGGAGACCUGCGUGAACUCAUACUUAUUCUGAGCAUAGGCUAUAACCGAAAUGGGAUCGAAGUGAUUUGAGCUGUUAUCAACGUCCAAGCUCUCCAAAGUCCCACUAACCAGACUAGAAGAAAUGUUCGAGAUCUUCGGGUAGUUGAGCUUAAAAAUAGCAGUGAUGGAGAGAAGUUUACCUUCUCCCAAGCGUCCAUGGCCAGCUCCCACCAUGCAGAGCUUCCCCACGUCCUCAGACCAGAAGCCAUGGAGAUCAAUGGUAGCGCGAUCCUUCAGUGCCAAGGUCCUGGGAAACCGCGGCCGGAUUCGGUGGAGCAGGGAGCGGCCCUCGGUGAGAUUCCGGCGGGUGACGCGGUGCCACCUACCGCGGAUGAUUAGGGUUCCGCCGACCCGGAGAACGCCGGGGAACCGGUCCGGGUCGAGCGAUUUGGCAUGGAAGUAGAAGGACGUGGUGACGGGGAAGGGGGCGUCGCGGUCGUCGCCGAACAUCCGGUGCCGGCCGGUGAAGAAACCGUUCGAGAGCCCGAGGGCGCCUGGGAAGUCGACGAGGAAGUUCUCCGGGUCGGAUUCGGGAACGAUGGAGCCGCAGUGGUCGGCGUAGGAGAUGUCGGCGGCGGCGGAGGAGGAGACGGUGGAGGAAGGGAAGAGGGCUGCUAGAAAGAGAAGGAUCCAUGGGCGAGGGAUCGAAGGGACCCUAACAGUCGCCCAAGAAUUCUUGGGGGGCGGGGAAGGAGGCAGCGAGAGAGUCGCCAUCGGCAAGCGUUUUGGACAGGGCAGCGUUCUUUGGGACUAAUAACGAGAAUACCACUGCCUUGCCGUACUGGCCCAAAAGAAACAGCCGUACACCAAGGAAAAAAAUGGUGGGGUUUUUUUUUACGAAAUCCAAGAGUCCAAGACUAUUCGAUUGUUCAUUUGUUUGUUCUGUUUCAUUCCCGCAGCAAUAAAGCAGCAAUAAAGCAUGCAAUAAAGCAUGCAAGUAGGAAGAGAUUUUCCAGCACCAGCUUUAGGCCAAGAUUUAGGUUUUCAUCAUGAUCGACGUAUUAGUUUAUGUCAGUAUCAAAAACUCAUUUGAUGCAGUAUAAUUUACAUCUCAAACUAUAACCUCAAUCAAUGUAAAUUUUUUUAACUCAAAAUAUUAUCCAUAUAUUAUCAAAAAUCAUGCAAUUUUUUAAUCUUAUUUAUUAUUUUAAAUUAAUAUUCUCAAGGUAUGGUAUUUAAGAAGUGAAGACCGAAACUAAAUUUUCCCUUCGGACCUCCUUGCUAUGUCCAAUGAACUAAGAUUUGGAAAUGGGAGCUGAUAGAUUUCCAUGUUGUUUAAUACUUGAUAUCAAUUUCAGAAUCUGUUGGAUAUGGUAGACCAAAAAAGACAUCCACAUUUUAACAAUUAGAUAUUUACAACAUAUUUAGUUGGGAAGAAUUGAGCUCCAAACGAGAAUAAACAUGACUUCUAUUUCAAUUAUUUGUUCGAUAUAGUUCAUUCUGAUUUUAAUUUUGAAGGGAAUGAGAAUGCUAUAAUGCUCCAAAAUUUAAUACUGAAACUAUCCAACGGAACAGCACUGCAACUUGAAACCAUCCAAAAUUUUGAAAAAGUAUCCAUGGAAUAAUUUUGGAAAGUAUCCAUCGUGAUAGAAUAAUUUUGGAUAGUCGUAAGGGGCAGGGACAGCAGGGAGGGCGUAGACCCUCAAUGGAUUCCAAUGGGGAGAAAGAUAAUAGCUAGCCGUAUGAGUGUAGAACCUGUGGAGGAAGAAUAGCGAUUGCCUAUGACAAACAAUGCACUGCUUCUCUUUUUUUUGAAUUUUUUUCAUAGUCUUAAGCUGUAAACAAGAGGAGCAAGCAUUAGUUAUCCAAUCAAAUCAUGCCGACUUAUGGUCAGCAUAUACCUCGAUCAAAUCAUAUCGACCUAUAUAUUUAUUAUAAAUAGCUGAUUUAUGAUAUUCAUCUUAGUCUCCCUAGCGCCUUCAGUCUGUAAGUCUAUGACAGUUCUAGUUCUUUUGCAAUCCAUCCAGUUCUUAAGGCAAGCCCUGCCAGUCCUAAUAGAAUCCCCUCUUUCUGCUAGUUCAGUGAGAUAGCUAAAAAAUAUCUUUCAGUAUUUAAAUAUUAUUCUGAUUUUGAUUCUAAUUUCAAUUAUAAACUAAAUAUAUUGAAAAAUAUGAGCAUUCUGAAUUAAGGUUGGAAUUGAGCUUGAACCGGCCCAACUUCGUGUCACUAUAGCCCAAAUAAUAUCAAGUUGGAUUUGGGCUUGGAUAUAAAGCACAUUCUUUUUUUUGAGUCAAGCUUGGAUAUACCGUUGGCAUAACCUAAGUCCAGCCUGAGCUAAAAUUCAAACCUGAUCCCCAGCUGGAUUUCAGGCACAAGUUUAGCUCAAUGGGUCUAGCUCAUCACCGUGCAUAGAAAUAUUCAUGGACAAUAGUGACCUUUUCAAUUUCAGCCCAAAAGUUCAUUUUUAUUUACGACUUCUCAAAUUAUUUUAAGUCGUUGAGCAAGAGAGAGGAAAGAAGAAAGACAGGGAGCAAGUAAUCGCUACAGAGAGACUUGUUGCUUGGAUUCUCAAGCACCCAUACCCAUCCAAUAGCCCAUACUCACAUCCAUCUCCCUUUUUCCCCGGCCUUCGCCACGGCGACCCGUGACCUCGACUAUUUGGUCCUUGCCGUCAAUGGCAAUGAGGAGAGCAUGAACACCCUCUGAUGGGCCCUCCAAAACCUCUAUUUCUAACGCACCAGUAAUGACCCUAUUGUUGCUAGCAAGGCUUGGAGUGAGCCCAGCACCUACAUCAUUCUCCACAUCUAGUCCCCACCUUCCAUCACCACCGGCCUCAACCCCAGAUCUAACCCCUUCGAUGGUCCCAGUGCAAGGCAAGCCAGGUGAAUCAGGGCCUGCUCAAUUUUUGCCCCCAAGGGGAGUUGGCCCAAUUAGGUUUGGGCCAAGCUUGGGCUUGCAUUUUCCAAAAUAAUUAAGUCUAAGCCUAGCCUAAAACCCUUCCAAAAAUAAAUAAAUAAAUAAAUUUCAGGUCAAGCUCGAGUAGAAAAAUGGCCUGAUCCGGUUCGGCCCAAUUCUAACCCUAAUUCUGAUUCACUUUCCAAUCCAUUUCAAUUCUGAUUUGAAUCAUAACCAAAUGAAUUCUUAAAUUAUCAUCUUAAAAUAAUAAAAAAUUAGAUUUAAAAUAUUUAUGAUAAAUUUGUUAUCCCGCUUCCAAGGUCGCAGCAUAGAUCCUUAUGUAUCUAAAGGUUUCUUUUAAAAAUAAAUAAAUAAACAAAUAAAGCAAGCUAAACCAAAAGUUCAGUCCAUCUCAAGCUCAGCCACUCACCUAGAUCGUCAAAUCAACAGUUGCUUAAAAAAGCUGGCUUUCUCCCAAAUAGAGCAUGAGAAAGUCUCUUUUUUUUUUUUUUUGGUUGAAACAAUGUAGAAAGUACUCUUUGNNNNNNNNNNNNNNNNNNNNNNNNNNNNNNNNNNNNNNNNNNNNNNNNNNNNNNNNNNNNNNNNNNNNNNNNNNNNNNNNNNNNNNNNNNNNNNNNNNNNNNNNNNNNNNNNNNNNNNNNNNNNNNNNNNNNNNNNNNNNNNNNNNNNNNNNNNNNNNNNNNNNNNNNNNNNNNNNNNNNNNNNNNNNNNNNNNNNNNNNNNNNNNNNNNNNNNNNNNNNNNNNNNNNNNNNNNNNNNNNNNNNNNNNNNNNNNNNNUUUUUUGGUGAAACAUGAGAAAGUCUCUUUGAACGACAAGGCUCUCUCCCAGUGUUCGUCUGUUGUAAAGCAUUAUGUAAAGUUGUUGAGGUGAUGCUACGUCCAUUUAGCACUACUGUACCUACAAUUAUAAACCAUUUAUUUAUCAAUCUCUUAGCUCUCAGGUUCAAACUGUUUUCUAAAAGGAAAAAAUAAAUCGAUCUGCUUCUAGCAUACAGACAUGAAAGGCACCAACAACUACGAUUCCCUUUAAUACGAUUAUAAAUUUUUGAUACAAAAUACCACUUGUUAAGGUUAGAAAUACAUUGUUAGCCUUUUUCAUUAAUUUAUCAGCGUGGUACUAAAGCUCAAGUUUGUUAGUUUAUAAGUAUGAAUCCCUUAUACGCUAGAAUUCUUCUUCUUCUUUUUUUUUUUUGUACCUGGUUGUCAUACUGCUUCUGUUUUAAUAUCCAUAAGUAUGAUUACAUAAAAGCAGGUGAGGAGAGUUAACACUCGUAUACAUUGUUGAUCUGUUCUCUAUAACUUAAGCUUUUAAAAUUGAUGGAUUUGUUAACAGUAUAAAACGUUUAAUUUUAGUUGGUAUUAUCAAUAUUGUCAUUAUUAUUGUUAUGUGGCAUUUAGUUUGAGAAUAAAGUAAAUAUAAGGUUUGGAAUAGUUAUUCAAAUCAAACUUGCUAACCAGCUAUAACCAUUCAAGGGGAAAGCUGUCAUAUACUAUUCCGAGUCUUAAAAUAAAAGGGAAAGUUGUCAUAAACAUGAGCAGCAAACUAACACCAAAUAGCAACCGAAGCUAGUAAAUUAGCAUUGGAGAUGUCAUCUGGGGAGGGGGAGAAUUCAAGUAAUAAACAUGGUGAUAUUUAGCAGGCACAUAUGUAUAUAUAUCUGCAGGGGCUAUAAUACUUCAUGCAACUCCCCAAAGAGAUUCAUAUAUUAAAUAAUUAGGGGCUUAAAGAAGGGUAGUGUAGGGUUGCUGGAGGAAGCGGCUUUCUUGUCAUGCAGGUCAGUUCUGCUUAUUUCUUGGAAGGAAAAAAGAAAAUUCUUCUUUUAAAACCUAACCAAGAUUGGUGCAUAUAAGCAAAAGAUGCAGAAAUAUCAACAGUUUCAGACCAGCAAACACAAAAACUCCUACUUAAAGUUACAAAAUGGCAACCCCAGUAUCACACUGGACAUAGAAUUCGGUGCACAGCAUUAUGAAUAGAAAGCAAACCCAUGUAGUUUACUGCUGUUUUGACAAAUAUUAUUUUGAUGUCUCUUCAGCAACAUGACCAGUCAUAAUUAAGUACACACUGGUUUUUAAACCGUUUUAGACACACCCAUAUCAGUACAAGUCUUAAUUUGUACCAGGAAAUUGAUUAACUUCAUCAAGAAACUGACUGCAAUCGAUCCCCCUUUCCAUGAAGGCCGCUACAAGCUUUGGGUAAAGCUUUGCAAGCAUGAUCUUGAAACCAUGGGAACAGUGCUUAUGACCUUCAUCUGCCACCUUUCCACAUUUGUAAGCAUGUCCAACCUGGGCACCAUCCAAAUAAGCUUUGCAGGCAACAAGAAUGUGAUGUGACCUACGAGUAAAGUGCUCCUCCACAAGUGCCUCGAAAUGCUGCAUUAGUUAUAAACAUAUGUCAGCUAAGUUCUAGGAGCUGCUGAAGCUACCAUGCAACCAUUUUAAAGGAUGAUAGCAGAAGCAGUCAUAUCUUCUAAAAGAUUCUUUACACUUUUAAAUACUAAUCCAUGUCAGAGAUGCCAGGCUACCUUAGGCGGCUUCUGCAAGAGGUAUAACAUUGACUUGCAUGACAAUAUAAAAGCAUUCUCAUUAUACGUGAUGGAAUUCUUCUCACCCUCAGCUCUACCCAUCUGUUUGUCAUAUCCGGCCUCAUUGAAAUAUGGUUUCUCAUUGAGAACAAGGGCCUGAAUCGAUAGCAGUACUUGAAGAAUGGUGGAGCUUUCAGGAUUCCAGACUUCAGUACCAGUACCCAUCCAUGUCUUGAGAAGGCUUAGACAGACCUUUCCCGACUCAUAUAAGUUCGGGUUCAACCGAAGCCCGCCAGAGUUGUAGUGAACCAGCUGCACAGAAAGAGCAGUUCCUAUUUAAUAAAGUGUUUUCUCUAAGAUUCAGGUCCAGUACAGUAUAUUUUUAUAGGCUUUCAUGUUAGUUCAUGAUAAUAUAGGCAACAAUGAAACUGCAUAAAUUAACCAAUUCCAAGUGGAUAAGACUAUGCAUUUGAAGCAUUAUACGUUGACUUGUGGGGGUAUUGCCCUACAAAGCAAGAGAUCAACUAGAACCUCUAACUGUUCUGUUCUACUUUAAUUCAGGGUAUCAGUCUUUAGCACAAUCAAUAUUCACCGAGGUUUAAGAUAUGAUGAAAAUGGCAUGAAUGAAUGGGACACAGUUUCUCAAAUCUUUGCUUUACACAGGACUCUUUUUUUGUGCAAUUUGAUGGAGUUCAGUGGUAAGGUGUGCUCCUGAUGAACCGUAUGAUGUUUUCUCAUGGAAAAAAGAUUACAGGAUUUUGCACUAAAAGCUAGUUUAAACUACUUUGGGUUUGAUUACAGAUGCAUAGCGCAUAUAAGGUCUAUUUGUUGCAUAUAUGCAAUUUGAACUAAAGAAUAUGAAAAAGAAAAUCAAAGAAUGAACCUGAAAAGGAACAUAUAGAAACAACUUCAUCCCAGUGAUUUUUAUCAUCAUAGUUAACCAGUACUCAGUGGAAAAACUAUUAGGGUAAAACAGAGUAUUUUGUUUAAUAUAAACGCAUGUUCCUUGACAUUUUACUAUUAACAUGUUUUGAGCAUGCAUGUAUUCAAGUUGAACCAGAUCAACUCUCAUUUUAGUUUCCCUGUAUUAUUUCUGCUUUAUUCCCAAUGUGUUCCUUGAGAUAUUUUACUGCUAACAUUUUUUUGAGCAUAUAAACAUUCUACUUGCACCAAAGCUUCUCUCAGUUUAAUAUUCCAUGUAUUGUUCUAACAUUUUAUGUUUAUUAAUUUAAAUGUGGAAAACCGUAGAGAAACUAUAAAAUCUCCUUCAUUAAUAUUUAAUCACAGAUACAUCCAGUCUAUGUCAGAUUUAUUUAUAUAUGUGUUCUUGUAUUAGAUUCAAAUACAUAUACCUGUCAUCUUC